UUUUUUUUAAGUUUUCCGAAUUAUAUGGAAGUUUCUGAAUUUAUUGAAGUUUUCUGAAUGGAGAAGAGUGGAGAGGAGAGGACAAGAGUGGAGAGGAGAGUGGAGAGGAAAGGAGAGGACAGGAGCAUGCUCUACAACUACUCCAUGAGCAACACUAGAUUAGUUGCUUAGUAUAUUUUCAAUUAACAGUAAGCAAGCAACUCCAGCAAGCAAUAUUCUACUCCAGGUACCAAAUGAAAAAUUUCUACACAAUCAUGCUCACUAAAUAUUCUUCUCUAGCAAGCAAUAUUCUAGUAUUGCUUACUCUAUUUUCAAUUAACAGUAAUCAAGCAAAUAAACAGUGAACCAUCAGUAGAUUCAUUCCAAAACUUUCAUGAGUACUCCUUGUUCGAAAGCUUGCUGGUGAAUUAACAGUAAAUAGUGAACCACCCGUAGGAGUAACUAGUGAAGGUUGCUGGAGUAUUUUGAAUCUCUGGUGAAUACUCUUGCAAAAAUUGACUCAGGAGCAAAGACUAAACACAAAAUAUGAAGUGACAUCAUCAGUAGUGCUCUGGUUGCUCUGUAUACAUCUACUACUCCCUCCAUGUUCCUAAUUUUUGUUCAGAACAUCAUUUAAUUUCUGUAAAUAAUCAUCACUCUACAGUGCAUGGAGAUCCUAUCCCAAGUCUGUCUUAACAAAAAAGUGCAGAAUUGAAAUAAUCAUCAGAGCACACAAUCUGAAGCAGAGAACACAAGCAGAGCAUGAACAAGUUUUUCUUAGCAUCUCUGAAGCAAAGCACAGAAUCAGAGCACACAAGGGGACGAAGAUGAAGUCUGACCUGAUCUGCACAGAUGACGAUGAAGUUGAAGUCGCCCGGCAGCUCGAACUCCCCCUCGUCCGCCAGAGCAGCAACCGCAUUUGCAGGACCUCCACGUCGUGUAGACCCGGCAGCAGCAGCCGCAUCUCCAGUACCGGUGCUCCUCCUUGCAGGUCGAGGAAGACGAGGAGCGCCAGCGUUCGUCGCCGCCGUUGUCGAGCCGGAGAACGCUGCCACCGUCGUCGAGCAGGACAAGGCUGUCUGCUCCGCACUACUGCUGCUCUUCCUGGACUUCAGUAAAAAAAGCCAGCUUUGGCUUGAGCAGGAGAAGGUGGCGCACGCGACGCUGGCGAGAGGGAGAGGCGGCGCGGGCGAAAGGGAGGCGGCGACGGCGGCGCGGGCGAGCGGCGUGGGCGAGAGGAAGAGCGGCGCGGGCCAGAGGAAGAGCGGCGCGGGCGAGCUAGGGAUUUCAGAGUGAGUGAGGAGAGGAGGGGAAUCGCGAGUGAGUGAGGCGAGGGAGGGGCAAAAUGGGAAACGACAAGAUUUUCGUAGCGUUACGAAAUUUGAACUACAAUUCCUAAACGCUCUUAUAAAAGUUUACAGAGGGAGUACUACUUAAUGCAUAGCCACAGGAUGAUGCCUCAUAUGCCAUGUAGGAUCGGGCGACAGAAAAAAUAGGUUCGGAUAGGAAAGCGGGAUCCUCUGCAGGAGGCGGGUGCUUGGAGAAAAAAAGUGUGGUCCGGUGCAUAAAGUUGAAAAGGUUGAAGUAAAGAGUAGAAAUGCAUGUGUAGUGAAAGUCACUUUUUAUUCUUUGAUGAGGCAAACUAGUAGUAGCUUGCAAUGGAAAGAACAAAUCAGCAUAGAUACUUUAAAUUAUUUUUUGUCAUGAGGCAUCUAUAUCCAUAUGCCACAAUUGAAUAUGGCAAAUCAUAUAAUAGAGUUUGCUUGGCUUUCACUCGUUUCGGCAAAGUUUAAUCUUUGUUCAUUUUUGGCUUUCUCUCCGCAAUGCCAUGCACGGUUAGAGCCAUGCAUGAUGAUGAUGAUGUCUUGUGGCCGAAUAAACAAAUUGAUUUUGUUAGUGUUAGAAGUAGAGAUGGCAAAUUAUAUGUACAUUAUGAAAGAAUUUGGUUGCAUGUGAAAUUUGUUCCAUUUUCCUUUCCUUUUCACACGAUGAAACAGGCACGCGCAACGACUUGACGGUAGUUUCGCAAAUUCUGAAUUCAGAAUGGUACAAUCAGUAGCUCUGAAUCUGAAGAAAGCUGGUUCAGAUUUCUUCAUGCCAUCGGGUUGCAUCCUACUACUACUUAAUGCAUAGCCAUAGGAUGAUGCCUCAUAUGCCAUGUAGGAUCGGACGACAGAAAAAAUAGAUCCGGAUAGGGAAGCGGGAUCCUCUACAGGAGGCGGAUGCUUGGAGAGAAAAAGUGUGGUCCGAUGCAUAAAGUUGGAAAAGUUGAAGUAAAGAGUAGAAAUGCAUGUGUAGUGAAAGUCACUUUCUAUUCUUUGAUGAGGCAAACUAGUAGUAGCUUGCAAUGAAAAGAACAAAUCAGCAUAGAUACUUCAAAUUACUUUUUGUCAUGGGGCAUCUAUAUCCAUAUGCAACCAUUGAAUAUGGCAAAUCAUAUAGUAGAGUUUGGUUGGCUUUCACUCGUUUCGGCAAAGUUUAAUCUUUGCUCAUCUUUGGCUUUCUCUCCGCAAUGCCAUGCACGGUUAGAGCCAUGCAUGAUGAUGAAGAUGUCUUGUGGCCGAAUAAACAAAUUGAUUUUGCUAGUGUUGAAAGUAGAGAUGGCAAAUUAUAUGUACAUUAUGAAAGAAUUUGGUUACUUGUGAAAUUUAUUCCGUUUUCCUUUCCUUUUCACACGACGAAACAGGCACGCGCGACGACUUGGCGGUAGUUUCGCAAAAUCUGAAUUCAGUAUGCUACAAUACAAUCAGUAGCUCUGAAUCUGAAGAAAGUUGGUUCAGAUUUCUCCAUGCCAUCGGGUUGCAUCUGGAGUAAAAAAAAUGACCAUGUUCAAACUUGCUCAAUUUCACCUGAUAUUUUAGAUGGAGAUAUAACGACCCAAGUUGUUGUUACAGAGCGUUUCAUCAUCACAGGAUCUUUUGGUGGGGUGACCAAGGCUCGAACUCUCGACCUCAGGAUCACUCGCUGUUAGCUAUGAGACCUACGCGCUAGCCAACUGCGCCACCACCCCUUUGUUGGAUUAAAGGAGAAAAAAUGUUUCUUCGUAACAAUUCUGUUGGUUCAAACUAAGCAAAGAUCAACACUUUCCAAAUCAGCUGGAGCGAAUCAACCUGUGGUUGAGUUGGUUAGGUGGACAGUGGUAUCCCCAACCCACCAGGGUUCAAAUCCUGGUGCUCGCAUUAUUCCUGGAUUUAUUUCAGGAUUUCCGGCGAUACGUUUUCAGUGGGAGGAGACGUUCCCGUCGAUGACGAGGCGCCUACGGUGACUUCGUAAAUCUCAAGAUGAUAUGCCGGCUCAGUCUCUCGGAGGUGCUCAUAGGGGUAGGGUGUGCGUGUGUGCGUUCAUAGAGGUGAGUGUAUGCGCGUGUAUAUGAGCGUUUGUGUCUAUACUGAUGCUCAAAAAGAAAUCUAGAGUUGAAGAAAUGAAGAAAGGAACUGCACACAGUAUGUUGCAUCAGAAAGUCCACAACUCAUACAAUAUGCUAACUGAAGAUAACUUGAGCAUUGGGUCAUUCAUGCCACCGCAUCGAUCACAACAGAUUCUACCACCAAAAGGAAAUAAUCCAAGUCGCAACUUAAUAUCUUAAUAACCAAUUUGGUACUGUGCUGAGCGACCGCGGCUCGUCUUUGCGCUGAUACAGACACAACUAACUGUGCCCUUACUUACGCAGUAGCUAUGUCCGGCCAAACCUUCCAUAAACAAGAACAGAAAUUGGCACUUGUAAUCUAGAACCAAUGGUGUGCUCACAAAAUAUAGUAGUAGCCGCCCUAGCCAGCGACUUGGAAUCAAUCAUCAAUGGUGGCUGCAGCAGAACCCUUCACGUCGAACGGAGAUUAUGUUUACUUUUGUAAAAAAAAAAGCAUAGGAUGAGCACAUGGAUCAGUUGCAAAUUCAACCAAGAUGGGGAAAACAUAACACUAAACAUCAAAUGAGCUCCAAAAGGAGCAAGAGUUCUAGUGGUUUAGUUUAUACUAGUGAGCAACUCUGCAUCAACCAGAGGCAUCAGAAUGUUCACAACUCAUACAAAAUGCUAACUGAAGAUCAACUGAGCAUUGAGUCAUUGAUUCUAAAACUAAUUGUGUUGAGCGACUGUGGUUCCUCUUUGCGCUGGCAUAGAACUAAUUGUGCGCUUACUUACGCAUCUGUUAUAUACGGCGAAAUCCUCUGCAAAGAAGUGGCACUUGCACCGCCAAUUCUUCUGUAAAGGAGAACAUAAAUUUGCAUUUGCAGCAUAAACUAGUAGGUAGACCAAGGAGGCACCACUUUUUGGAUAAAUGAUGGAUUUUAUCAACUCAAAAUAAAGAAUUAACGGGAUACAAACACAAUGAGCACAUACCCAAUUACGAUGGCAAAGAGCAAAGUUAUAUCUUGAGCAAAUAAAAUCCACCCUUUGUCAAAAAAAAUAAUAUCUUGAGCAACAACCUGUCUACACAGCGCGUUGCUCCUCUUUAUAGGAAACCGAGAAUAGCAUUUGUCAGUCGAUCCAUGGAAUGGAGAGGGGUAGAUAGUUCUAACAGCCAAGGGGUUUAGUUGACUCCAUCCUUGACACGGAAGCGGAGCAGAGCAUCUGAGUUUUCAUAUGUACGCUCAUCUCUGAGAAAAGAAAAUCUUCUUUGAGAAUCAAUGGCUUGUGCAUCAGACUAGAAUCAAUGGCGUGUGGGGCAACAGAAGUUUGGUUCAAUGUUGGAAGUAAAGAGCAAUGUAGAUGACAAGUUAUAUGUGGAAGAAUUUGGUUGAUUUCCACUCGGUUCAGUGAAACGUACUCUGUAUUCUUGUAGUUAUCUGGUGAACCAGCUUCGAGCUACAGCAGUAAAUAAAAAAUUAAACAAGAUGGACCUGGUUCACCUGAUAAUUCAGGUGGUGAUGUGACGACCCAAGUUGUCACUGAGCGUUUCAUCGUGACAUGGUCAUUUUAAAUUGGGGUGAGAGAGGCUCGAACCCUCGACCUCAAGAUGGCAACGGGACAAAACCCACCAGCUUUUGCUUGCCCAAACUCAUCCCCACGAGAAAAUCACAAACCCGUCCCCGUCCCCAUCAACGUGCGCGGGGUUACAUUUUUGCCCGUCCCCUAAACCCAUCAGGUUUUCAAAACCCACGGGGAACCCGUCCCCACGAGCAGUCAAAGAAAACAGCAACAUUUGGAAAAAAAACAGGAGCAUAUUACAGCAGUAGGCGACGGCUGGGGGACCUAGGUUUAGGUUUAGGUUUCGUGUUGUGUGGGAGAGAGAGUCCUAAAGAGUGAGCAACACUGCAGCGACCGAGCGAGGGGUUGGUUUGUACUCCAGGGCCUCGACGCUGUGGGGCUCGGCUGCUCGGGCACUGUAGCUUUGGGCCACUUGAGUCAAGAUGGAUCGGUGCGUGCUAAAUAAUGUAUUUUGACGGGUUUUGUCGAGUUUCGAGUUUGGAUGGUACUCAAAUGGGUUUAAACCCGCGAAACAUACCGGGUUUUAUAAUGUACCCACGAGAAGCCCCGCGGGGAUAGAAAGUCGCCCAUCCCCGUCCCUAAUAGGGUAAAAACCCACGGGAACGCGGGUUUCAGGGCCCCAUUGCCAUCUUGACUUAGGAUCACUCCUUUGAGACCUACGCGCUAGCCAACUGCGCCACCACCCCUUUGUUGUAUGAGAAACGAUACAGCGGCUACUGUUCGUAUACAAACCUGUGCGGGUAUACAAACGUUGAGCAACUUCCCGAAGUCUAUCUAUCCUCUUCUAACUUCUUUUACAUUAGGUUGUUGGUUGGUUCUUCCAAGCAAUCGGUAAAUCUAGGAUUUUCAUCUUUCUUUCUUUCUUUCUUUGCGUUGAUAGGCUCUUCUCAUCCUAAACCUACAGAAUACGUGCUUAAAAAGGCUACAACACCGUAUAAACAGAAAAAUAAGAACGACGAGGACUCUAUGGUCUCCUGAUCGUUGCUUCACUCGUGGCUAUGGAUGGGCUCCACAGUGCCUUGUCUCUAGGGCGCGGCCUUGGUGGUGGGAACAUGGUGCUCAUGGGCGGAGCCCGUGGUUCAGGUGCGAGCUACCUACCAUGGUCAUGGGGAUGGCGUGGUGUAGUGUUUGGCGACCAUGGCGGUGGUGUGGCAGAUUUCAACUUGCCGCACCCUGGUCAAAGGCGAGGUAUGCUUGCCGGGUGAAAACCUUCAAAGGCUUUGGCCGGGCUAACGGAGGCGGCGUCCAUGGACUUCGUCCUCUUCUUGAAGUCUUUGUCGUGGUUGCACCUUGUGCUUCAUCGUGCUUCAGGUGAAAAUCUUGAUCCUUUGAAUUGGGGCGGUGGCAGCGCUCCGGUGUCGUGUUCUUUCAAAAGGCACCGCCUUGGGACUCAUGGUUCGUCGACUUUCAACUUCACCUUUUCACGGUGGCGAUUCAAGGUUGAGGGCUUUAUCGACUCCAGAGUGUGCUUAGUAUCCAUCUACUGUCUACUUGGAGUUGUAUGGGGUUGUUGUCAUUGACCUUCGCACCUAUUAUCUUGCCUUUAGUAUGUGUUGUGGUCGUUUGCAUCGAGUUGUAAGUUGGCCGUUGCUUUAUACAUAAAGCAAGGCGGAAGCCGUUUUCCAUAAAUAAGUAGCAAUUUUCUUGCAUCUAUGGGUCAUUCUCAACAGCGAACUGCUUGCUGGUUAAGCUACUAUCCGGAGGAGCUUUGUAACUCGACCAUUGUUGGUCGUAGCUUUUCUGGUUGAUUUUAUGAAAUCCCUUUCGGACACAAAUGUAACCAUUGCAAAAUUGUGUCUCCGUAUAUAGGCUUAUAUGGAUAAAAAGUUGGAGCCGUGUGCCCCCUAAAAAGGAGGACGCAAGUCUAUAUGUAAUAUGUAUCGACCAAAUAUAUUAUGCAUGUACUAGUAAAAGUGCCCGUGCGUUGCAACGGGCUAACAACAAAAACUCACAAAAAUUAUAAUGACCAACAUAAAACAAUUCAAGUUCAUCAAAUUGUGCCAACCUGAUGUAAAUCCUACAGAUCAAAUCAAUAAUUAAGAAUAACUCAUGUAAGAAAGAGGAGCCUGAGCUUUUAAAAAAAACGUGCACACCAUCCUGGUUGAAUGUGCUUGAAUGGACGCUCCUUCUGGCGCUGCUAGUGGCCACCACUAUGACUCCUUGUCCUCGUGGGCACGCGUGGGGAAGGAGCAGAUCCUCCAGCGCAAGAAACAGCAAAACACACCAAGAAUUAUGAACCACUUUUAGCUAUUUACAACAAAUAGCCCAAGAUUACACCACAUGGUCAUUAAUAGCAAGAUUGGAUAAAAAUAGCUUCUUGUAUAUUUAUACACUCACACAGCAGGUCCAGUUCUUCUCAUUGCCUCGCUGUAUAUUGUAGUCUUCACAGAAUAUUAAUUACAUGAUGAUGAGAUUAACCGAAAAGACUACACUGAAUUUUGGCAUUUUGCCUAUGCAGUAACUCAAAAGACAAACAACUCUUACAGAAUAAGAAUCGUAUGUGUUUUCUUCCACAAAGAUCAUGAACAGUGGGUUUAGUUUUCUAUUUUAUUUCAUUGUUGACCCAGUCUUUCAUGGCUGCUUCAUUAGGAACUUGAACAUGAAAGAGGACGAUAGGAAAGCCUCUUUUUAUUAUAGGUAUAUAUAUUCAGUAGCUCAGGCCUUUGUAGCAAAUUUGUAUAGGUCUGCUUGUUGUGCCUACCGAAGUAUGCACAUGUUUUUGACCUGCAAGUGCAGCUAGGGAUGCCUGUAAUUCAGACAAUUAAAACACAAAGUUGAUGAUUUCUGUGUGUAUGACACUUGUGUUCUGUACAUGUCCCCAUGCUUGCAAGUUGCAUUUGCAGUGUAUGGAACUAACCUUAUAUGGCUUAUUUGAGGGGACAACAACAGCAGCCAAGGUGGCGGCAGGAAGUCCUCGACGUGUGACCUGGACAACGUCUUGGUCAGUUACUUGGAGAUUAUGCUUCCAUUGCUCAUGCUCGCCGGGACACACUGUCGUCACCGUUGUCGAAGUCUUUGUCGCUGGGGGCGGGACUGGUCCCUUCCUACUUCCUAGUUCCUGCUUGAUUCUGCCAUGACCUGAUUGCCCUUGCAAUGCAACGGGGGCCUAAAUAUUUUACGUGUUAGAAAUAAUACAAUAAUAGAACCCCACAUAGUUCUUUUAUAGAGAACUUCGCAAACCUCGACUAAUCUAUAUCAUGCAGGGAAAGUAUCAAUCAUAUAUAUCUUCAGAAUCCCCAUACACAUCAAGCAGCAUUAUCUCCAUUUUAUUACUUUUAUAAAUCAUUCUUAUUUCCUCCAACCAAACUCACCAUGUCUAUAUCCUUUGAGCUAAGGGAAUAUUUGUACUAUGCAGAGGAGAAGAUUAACAUUCCAUAUUGAGAGAACAAAUCAAGUUUAGUAUAGGUGCCAUGCCAGUGGCAUGUUUGAGAUCAUGUCGUCAUUGCUGAACCUUGUACUAUGUCAUCUAGCAGAACACGUUAUCAUUUGCGUCGUAUAUAUUUCCCUUGAUGCAUGGGUGGAGCUGAACAUGCCCUGAACUCUGAUCUCCUUUCCUGCUUUGACUUUAAUAAACUUGAGUACAUAGUAUGCACAGUACUACUACUGUACAACAUAUAAUUAAUAUUUUACUGUGUGAAAAGAAAUUAAGUCAAGACCCUGAAGAAUACUACAAAAAUAUCUAAAUGUCCACAACGAUGUUCUUAAAUUCUGGAGAAAGCUCGUAACCCAGAUGUAGAUUUCAAGCUGGAAGUUUUAUGCACAAUCCUUUGUAUGUUUGGCAAGAAAAAUAAUAUCAAUGAGCUUCUAGCUUCUGCAUCAAUGAAUAUAUACCAGAAUCUAGCCUUUUGUACCCAACCAAACCUAGAAAACAAAGUCUAGAGAGAGGGGGGGGGGAUAGAGUCUGUCCACUUGCUCUGUAACAUUAGGAGCCAUGACACGCCAGUUUUCGGCUCAACUAUUCGAAGUAUAAACCACUUUUACUACUGAGUGCCAACUCGAGAAACAAAAUCCCAUUGUCAUCUUACUACGUAGCAGUAAGCGUUAAUUAAGAAGCAAUAUCUCAUAUUGUGUAGCUAGAAGAAAUUAACAUAUUAGUCAUUAAAGUUGACUCACGGCAUUCUUCCUGGGGGCAUCCAGCCCUAGUUGAUAGCAAGAAUUCUUCAUGUACUCUUUGGUCGCCUUUCCGCACGUCACCUACGGCAUAGUCAUAACCUGCACGAGCGAGUGCCAAGAACCCAAAUUAAAUUAAUCGUCAAAUAACAACUUGGAACUUGUGAAGAAGCACAAAAUGCUAGAGUCCAGAAAUAAAGGCAGAUUAAUUCUACUAAAGUUUUAAGAUAUUGAUCUUUAUGGUUUGAUAACAUGUGAAUAGGAAUUUUGGAAAAAAGUGGUGGCAAGUCAUACAACAGACAAAUAAAUUUGUCCAAGAACUGAUCCUCCAUGUCCGGAGAGAACAAUCACAGCUACAUGGAAGAUUUCUACAAGUUUAAUUGAAAUUUUAUGAGCAUAUUAACAUCCUCCGAAGUCUGAAUCUCUCCACCUUCCACUCCAUGGGCAUUGUCUUCCAUGUGAUAAAUGUAACUACUUCGCAUGAAAGGUAUAAUAUAAACUCCCAACAGAAGGUCAGAAUUAACAUGUUCAAAUCCCGCACUUGUAUUGAUGGACAAACGGUUCAUGACUUGCACACAGACAACUCUUGUGUGGUCAAGAAAGGGACCCAUUCAUUGUUGCUUCUUUGUUUCUCUGAUCAGCUUUUUCUAGGACUGAACUGAAGAAGAGGUUAUUUAGAUUCAGAACCUAAAACAUUGCUUGUUGUAGAGUCCCUCUCUGAAUUCCACAUUUUUUGCAAGAGCAGUCAUUGUACAUCAAAAUUUACCAUGUGAUUCAUCAGGAAAAAAAGGAAUGGAAAAAUGCCAUGCUACAAACAUAAUAUAACUGAAUACGCAUUGUCAUAUACAGUACGGAUUAUAAGACGCAUAGCUUUAAUAUCAUCAUUUUCCCACAAAAAAAUCUCUAAUAUCAACAUUUUGCAGAGGGAAAGGCUUUAGAUUUUUAGUGCAUUAACAUCAAAAGAUAGCGCUAACAAUAGAAAAGAAGUGGCUUAUAUUUAGAGAAGUGGUACAGGAAUGAAAGGUAAGCAAUAUACAUAAAUAGCAAGAUAUUCUAUGAUACACACACACACAUCAGGUUUCUGAUGGUCCACACAACAUCAGAAAUAACAAUAUAUAUCUAGAAAAGAACUGUGUGGGGUUCUGUUAUUCUGAUCAAUUGAGAAAGCCACAGCCUCCUUCCCAUGAGAGCAUGAUCCGUGAAUUGCAGCAGCUAGCCACUACAACAUGAGAGGAGCAUAGUUGCACGGCAACCGUCGGUGACCCAAGUGUAACGGAACUAACUGCUUGUGUGAUCUUAAUACGAAUUAAAUUGAUGUACCCAAUACGUUUGUCAAGACAAAUCCAAAAACAAAACUGCUUGUGCGACCAUACGAAUUAAAUUGCUGAAUCUCGGUUAGUGGAAAAGAUAUUAAUAACCUACAGGGUAAGAUUCCAAUCCUAAUGUUUGCUAGCAUGCAUAACAAUGUGACUCCCAGCAUGCACCAACAAUACGAAAAAAUUAGAGUUGGAAGGCACCUGAAUUCCUAAUACAGAGAACAUGAUGAGCAAAAACUAAUUCAAGUUCAACAGAACCAAAUCCUACAGCUCACCCAUCUUAUGAGGUAAGGGUUCCUGCUUCCAAGAUAUAUUUUUCUCUGCAAAUUCAGAUGAACAUUAUAAGGAUAAUUAAUACAUGGCAUGGCCAUAAAUUAUAUCCGAAACAAAAUUUGUUGAAGCAAGAACUUGAGCAACAAUUUCCAACGGCGUGGGUUACCUCUGAUCUCUGUGGAGGUGAGAAGGUCCUAAGUGAAGGACGAAGCAGCCAUAGUGGAUCCAUGACCAGAGAUGGCAUCCUGUAGAUGCCAAACCAUAGAAUAUAGGGCAUGUUUGCUAAAAGACCGCAACACCUCCGAUAGCUCAAUUAGGUCGGCUGAAGGUAAACAACAAUUAAAACUAAAAAUGCGCAUCAAAGAUAAAUCGAAAAAAUGCGCAGCAAAAACAAAAAGCAUGCACANNNNNNNNNNNNNNNNNNNNNNNNNNNNNNNNNNNNNNNNNNNNNNNNNNNNNNNNNNNNNNNNNNNNNNNNNNNNNNNNNNNNNNNNNNNNNNNNNNNNNNNNNNNNNNNNNNNNNNNNNNNNNNNNNNNNNNNNNNNNNNNNNNNNNNNNNNNNNNNUCAUUAUGAGUGCCCAGAUCUUGUUGGAGGUGCUGUGUCUAGGCAAAAAAAAAGGUCAACACCUAACUGUAACUUCUUUAUAUGAUUAAAAAAAUCUGCAGAUAUACAUUUGUUAAGCCAUAGGAGCCGGCGUACCCAUGUGUCUUGAGACUAAACAUGAUGUAAAUUAAUUAGCAAACCAUUAUUCUAAUAACCCGAUUCACUCCCACCAUCAUAACAUGUUUUGAAUCAUAUGAAAGGAGAUUUAGUCUCAUGAUGUAUUCAUGUGGAGUUUACCUCAAGGAUCUGUGACUGAAACAGGUUCAGACAAACACACAAACACCUUGUGUGCAAAAAAUAACUGAGAACAUCCACAAGCACAUGAGCGUCCAAAUUUGAGGUGAAAGUGUUGCAGAGGGGACGGCCAGGUCGCCAGCAAGUGCAACGACGACCAGCUCGCGGUGGCUUUGGUCGAGCGGCGAACGCAAGCCCUCCCGAGCGGCACACAGCGAGGAGCUCGGGCACGCGGGAGAGAGGAGGAGCUCGGGCACGCGGGGAAGAUGAGGAGCUAAGGAGGAACGGUGGUGCAGGGUGCUGUGAUUGCCGGCGUCGGCGGCGGCCGGCGCGUCACCGGAUCGAGCGCCCCAAGGGCCGCGUGCCUCCUGGCGGCUGGGAUCAGGAGGCGUGGGAGAGAGGAGAGCUCGUGCAGUCGUGCCCGUGUCUGUUUUUUUUAUUUACAACCCCGGACGAAACGUUUUUUUCACUUAAAACAGGGAUUGCGGGUUGAUUUCUUAGAAAGAGAGGGACUUUUAUGAAAAAUUGCUGACGUACGACCAGAAGCAAUAAGCGCUUUAUUAGUAGGUAAAGAUAAAGAUAAAGAUAAAGAUAAAGAUAAAGAUAUAUACACAUUGCUUGAGCAACAACAAAUUGUGAACCAAACUUGAAAACACACAGCAAAAGUAACUAAAAAAUGCUGAAAAUAACUUUGCACAAAGAUACACCAUAUAUUUACCAUUAACAACAUUUCAAAUUCAAAUUCAGUCUACACCCUAAGAAACGAACGUAAUAAAUCGUGUUAUAUAUAAAUAGUAGUUACAUUAAAACGGACGUUGAGCCAACUAACAUUGCCAUAGCUGAAUUUGGUUAUUAAUUUUCUCAUGGCUCAAAUUUGGAUUUGAAAGUUUGUAACAUGAGAUAUGCAAGUUCAAUGUGUUAAAUUGUUUUCACCUUUUUUCUGACAACUUUUAACGUGUGCCCUUUUUUUCUGAAACGUUAACGUGUGCUUUUCAUGUACCGGUUGCAGCACAAACUUGCGUCGUUGUUCAGAGGGAUAAGAUCGAUGCGUGUAUGUAGUAACACAUUGUUUGAGCGACAACAACUUGUGCACAUAUCAGUACUUUCGUACUUACUCAUCUCUGUAUGUUUGUAUGCAUUGCAAAGAUAAGAAACUAAUACUGGAAUUUGUCUCUCGAUUCAUAGAACAGGGAAGCAAUCCUCCUAGGGGAAGUUAGUUGUAACAACCAUCCUUGAUACGGCAGCGGAGUAGAGCAUCCCUGUUUCAAGACAAGAUUCUUUGGGAAUGAAGCUCUGCUCAUCUCUUGAGAAAGAUGCUUCUUCAGGAUCAAUCAAUGGCAUGUGCAGCAGCACAAGCUCGUCGACCGAAACCCUUCUCCACUGCACUCCUAUUAAGAGGGGCGUUGUGCAGCCCAACGAUCCUCGUCAGAGGCAAGAGAGGAAGAAGCACAAGUCCAGAAGCAAUGGGGGGGAGAAGAAGGAGAGAGUGAUGGCCGCCGCCCUCUGUGUGCUCGCCAUCCUGCUGUCGGCCCAGUAGCCGCCGGUCGGGGUUGCCGACCCCGCCACGUCGCCGUUCUGCCAGUGCUACGUGUGCUGCUACCAGGGCUGCAAGGUCAACAACUGCAGUGAUUGCUGCGCCGACUGCUACUUCCCUGGCGACCCCGACUUCGAGAACGCCUGCCGGAUGUCCAGCGGGAAGCAGGCCUCGGUCUGCGGCACGGAGGCCACCGGCGAAGGUGAGUAAUAAUACAUGGACGCCCACCAUAUUGGUUAAUUGAUUACUCUCCCGUUCUCCGUUUGUCUCUGAAUUGAUCGUUUCUCUUGUCUGCAUUUUUGAUAGAUACUAUUUGUAUUACUGCUGAAGAUGUUGCAGCCAACUACUGGAGCCGCCGCCACAUCAAGGCCAAGGCCAAGGCCAAGCACGGCUAGACUCCUACUACUACUGGGUGCUGCACCGAAGCCAUGGUGUGACUGACGAUGUUCAGAGGUUAUGUCAUGUGAUGUCCGAUUAUGACAGACAGUUGAUUAUGACAGACGAUGUUCGGAGAACUUAGUCUAUAAUAAAGUCUCCUGUGAUUUGGAAUAAAAUAGUUCGUCAAUAAAUCAAUAUUUUGUGGUAGUAAUUUAUAUAGUUUAUAUAUUGAUGACAAGCUGAAACUAAAGAGCAAGAACAAUGAGAUGGCAAGGUUAAAUAUUGAAAAGGACAAGUUUGCAGUUAAAUUGCACAAAUUGGGUUCCUUGACUUACCAAAGCAUAAGCAUCUGGUCAAUCUUUGACUUGCAAAAGUAACUUAAAGAUAGUGGAUGUUGCUCUCUAUCAUGAAUAAAACUUCCCAAACUAACACCUUUUCUAGUCUAACAGACUAGCCAACAGUUUAUAUAUACAAAGUAAGGUGAUCGAAGAACAAAAGAAAAUACCGGCUUGCUAAGUGGGAUAUUAUCUGUCGACCCAAAGACCAAGGUGGGCUUGGUAUUGAGAAUCUAGAGGUUAAGAACAGAUGCCUUCUUAGUAAGUGGUUGUGGAAGCUCGCGUCCGGUACUGAAGCAAUGUGGGCGCAAAUCAUUCGCAGCAAGUACCUCCAGACUAGAACGUUAUCGCAGGUAUCAGUUAGGCCGACUGAUUCGCUUUUCUGGAAGGGACUAAUGAAAGUCAAAGUAUUACUGUUUAAUAGGACAAAAGUGGUCCUUGGAAAUGGUGCUACUACACGUUUCUGGGAGGAUUCUUGGCUGGGUGACUCGCCCUUGGCUAUGCAGUAUCCUUCUUUAUAUCGUAUUGCGCAACGACGAGAGGUGUUCGUGGCAACGGUAUUUCAAACUAUCCCCCUUAAUAUUCAGUUUAGACGGUCGCUAGUGGGCAAUCGUUGGGAGGUUUGGCUCCAGUUAGUAAGGAGACUAAUGGAGGUCCAACUCUCUGACCAACCUGAUGUAUUACGCUGGAAGUUGACCAAGAAUGGGGUAUUUACAGUGAGGUCAAUGUAUCUUGAUGUUAUUAACUCAAGUUCUAUUCCAACGUCCAAAAAGGUAUGGGAUGUUAAAGUUCCUUUGAAAAUAAAAGUGUUUAUGUGGUUUGUGCAUAAACAAGUCAUUCUCACAAAGGACAAUUUGAUAAAGCGUAAUUGGACAGGACCUACUAGGUGUAGUUUCUGUGAUCGAGAUGAGACAAUUAAACAUCUCUUUUUUGAUUGCCCGCUAGCUAAGGUUCUAUGGCAGACGGUGCAUAUUGCCUUUAAUAUUACUCCACCCACCACGGUUACCGCUUUAUUUGGGACUUGGCUUAAUGGGAUUGAUUCUGCAUUAGCAAGGCAUAUUCGGGUGGGAGUUUGUGCGUUGAUGUGGACCAUCUGGUUGUGCAGAAAUGAUUUAGUUUUUAACAGAACACCACGAAUUCAUUUUUUGCAGGUUCUAUUCCGAGCUACGGCUUUGAUCCGUUUGUGGUCGUCACUCACUCCGAUGGAGGCCAGGGAGUAUUUGGUUACUGGGUCUACCCGAUGGGAGAUGGCUGCUCGGGUUAUCUUCAACCGGUUUGGAUGGCAGUCAUGUAAUAGGAUAGGCAAUUAGUUUUCCUAUCUUCUUUAGCCAGCCGGUUGUGGCAUUUUAUUUCUGGCUAGUCUGUGUGUCAAUAUGGGCUGCAUUUUCUUUGUUUGAUUUUGAGACUAUGGAACCUUGUAUGCACACUUUGCUGCUUUGGUUAAUAAGAGGGCCGUAUGCAUCAUUCUUGAUGCAGAGGCCGGGGUACCCCCCUUUUCGAAAAAAAAAGGUGAUCGAAGAACAGCAACCGUGCAACUGUGUGUAAAUCAAGUUGGGUUCUUUGUGAGAAAUUUUAACUAUAACGCAGGUGAAUGCAUAUCCAAUAAGAAAAGAAAAGAGAGUGUGCACAUGCGUUUGCACUUUACACUGGUACAUAUAGCUUCAUGUUAGUAAGGCAGAUCAGGUUCGCCAAUUAGGUUCGGGAAUGAAAAGUCGCAGCCUGUAAUUAUCUGUACUUUACACUGGUACAUAUUGUACAAGCGAAUUGCUCUCUGUAACAUGUAAUUAUCUGUUCCAUGGCGUGGUUGUCACCACGAAUUCAGAUUUCUUUUCUUAGGAAAUAAUUACUACUCUAAAUCAUAUAACGUUUGGUCACCCUAUGAGACAAUCGCUACUCCAAAUCAUGCAUAAAUAGUCACGGCCUGUUGUUUUAGUUGCUCAAAAAACUUGCUACAGCAAGAAAUUUUGUUCAUCCAGGCUGUGCUGCCAGUUUACCAUUUUAUCAAUUGAUGUUAGGUACCCCUUUUCAUCACGAGUAUAGGCCAUGGUAGCCUGCUUUUCAAGAUAUUUAAGUUCUGAUGCUACAAAAUUCACAUUCACGAGAUGGGGUGUGGACAACUUCCAAUCCUUAUCCCUUUAGUUUUAUGCUACUCCAAUUGUAUCUGGCACAAUUUGAUACAUCACACGGUCUAGUGUGCAUUGAAACAGUAGUUACAGAGUUUGGCCUCUCUGUCUUGUUUCUGUGUAUACUUCUGAUUCAGACCUGCAACUAGCGUGUUCGUGUGAUUCCGAUGAAUUUGGUACAUUCAAACUUCCAUUAGGAUUUCUAUGAUUUUGGUAUUAUUCCCAGUUUAAGGUAGUGAAGCCUCACGUAACUCUGAGUGUUAUAUGUUCUUGUGUGUUGGCAGCCUUUACCUUUUUGUUGGUAUGCAUCUAGCAACUGAAAAAAAUAUGUUAUUUUCAGGUGUCUAUUCAAGUGGAUGUGAAUGUUUCAUCCGCUGGAGAGAUUGUUGGACAGAUGAAAUUGCUGGGAAAUCUUUGGCCACCAGCAGGUUAAGCUGCUUGAAGACCAAGUUCAAAACAUGUACGAUGGCAGUGUUGCGCCUCUGAGUCUCUUUGCACCCUGAUGUAAUUAGUCCGGUAGUAUUCAGUUCUGUAGUGAUUAUUUCCGAAUUUUUCCUGCUGCUGGUUAUCGAGUUUAAUUGACAUUCAGUGUUCUCCAAAGGAACUUUAUUUGUACUACUAGUCGGGAUGAUUUUUAUUACGUUAGACAUAUCCCGGAACCAUCGCUUACUCUUCUACAUUGAAUGUAUUUAUUACGUAUGUGGCUUUGCUAUUGCUAGGCCAUGUCGUUGAUUAUAUGAUUUUACGGCCAUCAGCCUAGUUCUUACAUUGGCUCUCAAAUUCUGUACAUCAAUGCCUCUCACGGUUUGUUUUUAGAUUGGUUCCAUAAUCUGUACGUUGGCCGUUUCUGAAAUUUCUUAAGCUGGUGCUUGCAGAAACAGUCUGUGUACCGAAUAAAUUAGUGGACCAUUUCUUACAGUGAGCAAAAUUGCCGUGUACAGAACAAUUAGUGGACUAGGUCGAGAAUGACCAUUAAUAGAUCUAGCAAAAAUACCUGCGAUAAAGGAAUGCAGCCUUAUGUUCUGGAAAAAUAGAAUGCAGCAUUAUCCUAUAAAAAACAGGAACACAACCCCAUUGGUUGCCGUAAAAUUACAGUACCAUCUUUUCAUUUUUUAUAGUUCAAUUUAGUUGCGCCAUAGUGGCUUUGAUGACCAGGCCGUAGCUUACAUGCAUGCAUUCUGUAAGAUUACCUUGCCCCCUUCUGUACGUGAGAGACCGGCUUCUUUCUUCUCACCUUAAUCUUAUCUCAAGUGUUUGUGGGGAUUGGACUGGGAAUUCCUCACCCAGGGAUGUAUUUUUCCUAUAUAGGACAAAUUUUAUCUACAAGCAGUGGUAGUUACCUCCUAAUUAUCCAUCGUCGAUGUGCAACAGGACAGAUCGGGUUUGCGGGCGCGCAUGAAUCUGUUAUUCGCAUGCAACCUAGUUUUUUAAUUAAAUAAUCCGGCCGAUUUACCAGCUAGUUUAAACAACCCACUUGAUUGUCGCUGCAUGCAUGCCUGUUGCAUGCGCUAGUCCGUUCGAUCCAUAGUAGUAUCAUUUUUUUAUAGAAUCUAUAGAGUAGUAUGUUGACACGUUAACUGGAUUAACACGUCUUGGAAUUAUGUGUAUGUCUACUAGCUUAGAGUGCUGUUGGCCGGCCAUGGUACCGAAAUAUGCAUGUUUAACAGAGAAUUUUCAAGUUAUUAGUUAAAGGGAUUAAUGAAGAGAUGAGUAUAUUCAUCUAAUCUCAGGAGUAUAUGAAUCUAAAAAGGAGUAUAUCACAAAAAAGGAAGUUGAAAAGGGAGUAUUUUUCAUACUAUCAUACUCCCUUAGUUUCAUAUAGUAUGUAGUAUAUCACAUCACGCAAAAAAUGUAUGUAGUAUAUCACUGAACAUUUUUUUCUAGAAAGAUAGUAUCGAGUAUAUAUGAACUAAGGUAGUAUGGAGUUCAUAUAGUAUGUAGUAUAUCGCUGAACAAUUUUUCUAGAAAGGUAGUAUAUGACCGAAAUGGAGUAUGAAGUAUCUUUUUUUAAUAGUGCGAAGUAUAUUUCUAGAAAGGUAGUAUGGAGUAUAUAAACAAGAAUGGUACUCCCUCCUUCCAUCUAUAUAGGGCCUAAUGCGUUUUUUAAGGUUAACUUUGAUCAAAUGUUAGAGCAAUAAUAUAUGACAUGCAACUUACACAAAGCAUACCAUCAAAUUCGUAUGUGAAAGUAGAUUUCAAUGAUAUAUUUUUCACAUUAUGCAUGUCAUGUACUAUUAAUCUUGUCAAUAGUCAAAGACGGUCUUGAAAAAAGCAUUAGGCCCUAUAUAGAUGGAAUGAGGGAGUAUGGAGUAUGUCGACAAAAACAAGAGAGUUUUUCUUUUAAUUAAGUUGCAAAAAUAUAAAACUAUAGGAUUAACAUACUCCCUCCGUCUCAAAAAAAUGUUUCAAUCUUAAUACAACUUUGUACUAGAGUUAGUACAAAGUUGAGACACUUAUUUUGGGACGGAAGAAGUAGUAUAUUUUAUCAUUCAUGUGUACACAUCAUGUAUAUGUAUAUAUACCUCAACUUGAAGUAUGUUGUAUGUAAACCGUCCUAAAAGAAUACUCCGAACACCAUUCUAGUGACCAUACAGGUAUUGUCAUCAUAGGCUACAAUCAGUACAUUUUACUAACAUGAACGAUAGUGGAGUCCAAUGAUCGAUUGUAUCUAUACAAUCCUGGCCGCCGGCCUGCUGAUAUACACAAGGCAAAACGAACUAGUUCUACUAAGGACAAGCCAUGGAGAUUUAGAGCGUGCAAAACAUCUAGCUAGAUACUCAUGAUACGUAUGCAUGUCUUGUAGCCAUUGUUGCCGCUGGAUUAUGGGGUAGCAGAUCAGGUAUGUAUGGACGCGGUUUUUGUCCUUCGCGUUCCAUUCAUAGCGGCAAUCCAGUCCGCUAGCGCUAGCAUGUGGAUUCGCGUUGCAUGUCGGCCAGGAUAGAGUCGGACCGAUGACCGCUCUCGUAUUCAUCUGUAUCUCAAUUUAUCACCCCUCCACUCCCACCGUAUUCCACAGUAACGGGCCCCCCUUCCCUGCCCCCACCACCACACUACCCCCUUCUUCCUCAUUUGUCUCUAGCAAAAUAGAGCAUUGACCACGAGCUGUUCUUUCUCAGCGUCAAUGGCGCCUAGGAAUGGCUACACAGGAGAAGGAGGGAGCUCAGUCAUAUCCACGGAUCUAAGCCAUGGCAGUGUUGAAUCAGGCGAAUCUCUUCAGGUUAUGUUUGCUCCCCUCUCUUUUCCCACUCCCCCCUUUUUCUUUUGGUCAGAUCCGCUUCUUCUUAACCUCUUUUCAUCUUCUGAUCUGCAGCCCGUCCAACCUACGGCCGAUGUACCUCCAGAAGAGAUUCCGGAUCCAGAGUUCUUUAGCAUAGAUACUUCCUCUCCACAUAGGUGCCAUCACGAAAUGCGUCUAGCAAGAAAAGUGGCUUUCGUCUACGCGGCCACAGGCAGGAGGUUCCUUGGAUGCCCUCUCUCGGUGAGCAUUUAGUAUCUGAUUCAAUUAUCUAAUUUUUUGCAUUUCAGUUUGCAGACAUUCAAAUUUCUUCUAUAUCAUCCCAAUUUUAUCUGUAUGCAGGGACCUGAUAGGUGCUCCUGGUUCAUGUGGAUAGAUGAAGCAUGGGGUCCUGUACUUAGCCGUUCAUUAAUACAACUCUGGGAUCAGGCUCUCCUGGACUCUGGAAGAGCAGCAAGGUUGCAGACAAAGAAAAAGGAAAUGGAGCAAGCAUACUUAGAGUUGUGGACUGAGAGGAGCAAUAUGGAGAUUGAAAACUAGCAGGUGGUCAACAAGUUGAAGACCACAAUACUCGACACUGAGAUUAAGAUGUCAAGGAGGUUGGAAUUUCACACUAAGAUGUGUGGCAUUUAUUUCUUCAGCUGUUACCCUUGCUUCAGUGCUCGCUUAUGUGCUGUCUGCACACUAGUGUAGUUUGUUGGUGAUCAUGUAUGUGCUGAAUUAGGAUGUUUCGCCACAUUGUAUGACCAUUAAGUUACACCGGUAUGUUUUAUUCUGUAUGUGCCAACUGAGUUCUAGUUUGCAGAGCCCGAAUUAAGUUGUUAUUUAUCCCUAAAUAUUUUAUUAUUACCUCCCUUGGCAAGAUCACUCAUGUUCGGUUUUGUUUCUAUUGGCCGCGUGCAAGAAUUGUUUUCCAUUGAAAGUGUUGCAUAUUAGAGCUGCAAAAGUACUCUUGCGAAAAAGCAAGAAGUUUGUUAAGUUCUUCAGAUGAUACAUAUAAAGUUCCAUAGGCAUUUCUUCAAUUUUUACGCUGUGAUAAGUAUAUAGUUUGUUGCUUCCUGUCAUCAGUACCCAUUUUCAAACAAAUCACUAGAGUUAUCCUUUUUUUAAUAUUCCAACUACGAUGGUGCUUAUGCAAUGCAUAUUUUUCUGUUUAAUCGAGGAUGUUUUCCGAAGUCGCAUAUGUACUGAGGGGGAAACGGUUCAUUCUCUUUCCCAACUAGGUUAGCCGAAGACCACUGCCAACAUAUAGUGUACUGUUUCCAAUUAUGAAGUUUGGUCGCAUUAUACCUAUGCUUCAUUUGGAUCAUGCAAAUAUCCGUGGCAAAACAAAGGAUUCGACCUCAGGGUCAUAUUCACUGUAAACCUCAUGAUUAAGAAGGUACUCCUCUCUUCCCUUUAUAAAACCAUCAAUCAAACGCAUUCCCAGUACUUUAACAAUGUUGUAUCAACAUAUUCAAGUUAGUUGCCUAUUUCCCAGAAAAAGUGAUUAAUCAGAUCGUGAACUUAUUCCAUUGGUCCUAAUGACCAGGGGCGGUGCCAGCUAUCUGGCAUGGUUUGGCUGCUGCAACACCUACAAUUUACUGUAAAAAUACCUAGUACACUGCUUCCAAAUUUACAAAUUUAAAAUCGCUUAGGUUCAGUUCCUGUUUGGCUUUGUUGGUGGAUUUGAUGAAUUUUUAUGUAGGGUCAGUGAUCUCAUGACUGUAGGGCUCUACACCGACUAGUCAGCUUGAUAAAUUGGUCGGAGACUUGCAAGUUGUUGCUUUACUCCAUAGACGAGCAAAAACAUAAAUAUACUAUCCGGACCGCUAUGUCACUAUUGCCAAAAUACUAGAAAGUCGAAACCCUCGUGAAGUUUUGAUCAUUCAUGGAGGCGGCAAGGCACGCAGUAGAAGACAUUGAACUGAUAGCGGCUACCGUUGGUGAUCAGUCUGGGCCAGACAGUGAGGACUCUAGGGUCCAAGGACAACUAGGCUAGUGUGUCACACUGAUAAUUAUAUAUGGGUUCCACCUUUAUAGACUCCGCCAUAUCUACAAUUUAUUUCUGCCUUCUGAACUGCUAAUCACCCCUGCUAUUAUGUGGUAUUUUGAAUGAUGCCACAUUGGUCCGUAUGCGAAACAAUUAAGUGAGAACAGCUUGCAAAUUUAAUAAAUUAACAUGUUCACCAAGUGAAAGCAAAUUAAUUCUGAUCACAUCAUAGUUUUAAAGACCGAAUAGUUUGGGAAGUUCUAUGAAUUCUCUUCCGAGGCUAAACAAACAUUCAAUUCAAGUAGUCCAUCCACUCCCGGCAAAAUAACUUGUUCAUAUUGUCCUUCUUGCGAACAAGUCAAUCCUUGAUCUUGUCGUUCUUGCUAAUAAGGCAAUCCUUGUACCUCGCAGGCAGAUGACCAAUGUUACCUUCAGAACCAAGCAAGUCCACAAGCAUGUUCAUCCUAGCAUGCAUGACACCGUCACCCUGCGUUUGUUAAAAAAUUAGUUAUAGGUCGCAAAUCAACAUGCUAACCCACUUGUUCUGCAAGCAUCUUCAUUGUUGGAAAUUCCUUACCGGGUUCAUGUCCCUUUUCAGUUUAGUUCCCAUCCAAUUCCUUCCAAAGUGAGUAGCAUAUAUGUCCGUGUCUUCCCUGAAAAUCAUGUCAAAUUCAGAAUGUCAGUAACUAUGCUUAUGAAUAGACACGAUUACAUAAAGUAAGCAUUAUUCACACAACAAAUCAUUAUUUUCUGCAUAUCCCUGUUGCCAGGCCCCUUGGGAAGCAUGUAUUCCACGACCUCAUGUCUGGCUCCCAUCCAGAGAAGAAUGACUUUAUGCAUAUCUCUAUAGCCUUGUGAAGCUCGUCUGCAACCUUCCUGUGCCUGAGCUGAAUUACCUUAUCAGACUCGUCACCAUUGUUCAUUGUUGGGUCGAGGACAAAAAUCUUCGCCCUUGGAAAGUCCCAUAUGUAUGUAGACCAUUUGAAGUCGAACUUAACUAGCAACACAACCUGUUAAUUGGAAAAAAGGCACUGGAGUUUAUUAAAUAAACAUUAUUUAUCAAAUCUUUUAAAUCACUUUUGUCUUUUUAAAAGGUCACCUCGGUGCACUUGUGAACCUCGUAAGUGAUAUGCGGCCCCACGAACAUGUCCUUGAUGUACCUCAGCUUUGAAAUGUUGUCUCCUCUGCUAACAUGGUUCUGCAUGUUUCGAAUUUAUGAGUAACACUUAGCUGAAGCAUGGAAUUUUUUGUAUUGAUCAAUGAUUUCAACUGAAGUUCCUCACCACAAAAUCUGGCUCCAGCCAAUGUCACCAACAUCCUUCCCCUUUUGUAGCAGCAAAGACCGCAUCCAUCUGUUGGUACCUUCUCAUCACCAAUGUCAUCAGCACACUAUCCACCUCACCACCAUCGCGUAGCAUCUCACGGAGCCGCUCCCCACUGAUGUCCAUGUAUUUUGGGUUGAUGCUGAUAAUCCACAUGCUGCACAGUUGAAAUAGAACAUAUUGCGGUCAACAAACUAGGCUUUACCAAUGGUAAGGAUGAAAAACGAACUCGAACUAUGGUUUUUUCCUGCUGAGAGCUUACUCUUUUAGCUUGUUCGCGUUCUCCCUAUAGAAUAGCUUGUAUAUCUGCACUACAUUCGCUGGAGCUCUAGUAGGAGGGUCAUUACCCAUUACAAAGGGAGACCUUGCAUAUUUCCCAGGCCUCACCACCCUCUUUGGCUGAGGCUGUGUGCUAAAUGAUCCCUGUGACAUAGUGACGUUGAGGUUGAUAGCCGCCUCCUCUAUCUCCUCCCUAAUGUCAAGCUCGACAGCAGACAUCUGGCGGUUGAGGCUAACUGGAGAAGUCCUUGAAGAUGUACCUGCAAACAUUUGGUUUGGUGCUGGAGUGGCAACAAUCUGCAUUCCUCAAUCUGCAUGGCGAACACGGCAAGGUUAGCACGCAGGUCAUGACCUAACUGUAUUAGCUGUAUCUAUUAACAUUUAACCCCAGCUGGUAAAAGAAUCACGGUUACCUUCAGGAGUUUGCAUCUUGGUUGCUGCAGAACCAGGCGUGAUGUUUGCGGAAGCAACCGACACGCCUGAAACAAGUUAGUAAAUAAUGAAUUAGCUUCCCGAUUCAUUAUUUUUCAGUCACAAAGGAUGAUCCAUCAUACUGAUUUUAAACCAUACCGUUGGACGUUGAAACGGCUGUAAAAGCAUUCAUCAAGGCCGUCUUCCUAAGACCUGACAUUACAACUUUGAACUUCCCAUGCAUCUCUGGAGGAUCUAUUGAUAAACAUCCACCUAAGUCAUCAUCCUGUCCUGAAGAAACUAUUGACAAUUGAUUCUUGUCAACACCAUCCUUUUGGUUCUCUGCAGCUUCAUCAGUUCCUGUUGCUAUUUUUGGAGAGCAUAUAACUUCAUUUCUUGCCGCCCCACACACCACUGACAUCUCCAAGUUGUUCCCUGUAGUAUUGUCCAACAGCCCUGUCGCAUUGCCAACAAUCCCACUGCGCAACCUACUGUAUUCAUCUGCUGCUUCAAUCAGAUCAUCUAUUGCUUUGUUUGCUUCUUCUUGAGCACCUUCAGAUUCUUCAGAGCUCUCUAUCCUUGCCCUCUUCGGUGUGUGCCUCCUUGAUGUAACAACCUUCUUUCUUUUCACACCUAAUUUGCUCUUUGCCAAUGGUUCCACGUUAGCGGAAGCUCCCUCUGCCGACUCUAUGCUUAGUGCAUUCUCUGCAUCCCCUUGAACCCCUUGAACAUCUGAGAAAUUACACAACAAACGGGUUAGACAGUUGACAGUUUUUAUUCUAAGAACAAACAUAAUUCUAUUUCUUGUGAAUUACAAUACCUGCUUGGGUUGAAUAAUUGGGCCUCUGCUUUCGUGCCCUCAUUGCAUCAGUUAUCUGGUUGAUGUCUGCAAUUAUCUUCUUAGUUUCUGAGAGUAUUAACCCGUUAGUAUCAUUGACAAUCUCAUCCCAUCCUUCUGCGUGUCUCUUGUUUAAUCUUGCUCCCUUCCUUGAUGCCUCAUUUACAGCUGUCUUGCACUUGUUGGAGUACUGCUCGACCUUGUUGAUAAUAAUACCUGCAAACUGAAUUUUAUCAAAGUUUACCCAAUAAAUGAUGUCAGUUUAUGUUCCAUAUAUUACUUACUCAUCAAUAUAUUUGACCUAUAUCAAAACUUACAUUUGUGAACACUUUAUCACCCCCAAUUCCCUCUGUGCUGCACCCAAUCCCGUAUCCAUCAGUUGUUUUCUGAGUUGUUGUUGCCAUGGUAUUACGGCUGUAGCGUACUGUCCCCGGAUGCCUUGGCUGUAAAUAUUUAUCCAGAAAGGUUUCAUCAUUGCAAAGCAAUAGGCAAAGGUGACUUAUCUAUAUAAACAUACCAGACAGAGUAAAAGCAAAUGGGAACCAUGCUAGUACGAAUAUGACAUAAGCAUCAAGUCAUCUCAUAGUUAGAUAUGCUAGCAACGCGGCCAUUUGUAACAGCUCAAUCAAUAGGUAUACCACACAUGUCCUACUAACACAAUAUCCUUUCCAUCACAAGAUUAUUUUACUAUACUUGUUUUGUAUCUUAACUUACCAGUAGGUGUCCAUACACUACAAUCUCUGCAUCUUUCCCAGUUGUCGUGUCUUCAUCAAUAACAUCAGAGAUAGUCUUCUAUGAGUAUUCCUUGCACCUAGGGAACACAUCGUGGGGCAGGUUCUUAUCUUCUCGUUCGAGAUUGUCAAGAUAGAAAACCUGUGACAUGAAACAAAUUUGUGAUUAAUUGUUUCGUCACAAGUUGAAUCCGAAGCAAUGACAUUCGCUCAAACCUGCAAGAAGAACGUGCAUCCAGUGAGAUUUGACUUCAGUUUCCCACCUAGCAGUUCAGACUUCACCCUACCAGCAGAAGAAAGGAGCUCUUCUCUAAUGUACCGUCCCCAAUUGAACAUUUGAACCAUAUCAGGUAUGUGCAAGGCAUUCCAAUAAUCUGUCAUGAAAUAGUUGUGCUUCAGCGGAGGUGCCAGGAGGAAAGUCAUCGCGCAAAUUGUGAAGGCAACCUUGAACUUGUCUGCUUCAGCCUUUGUCAUAGCUCUGCCAUACCGAAUCUUCACUAUGUUAACUAUGGGUGUGAUCUUUUUUUCUCCAUUGCCGAUUCCUAAGAUCUCACGUACAGUACCUGCCACGUGCGGCGGUGCAUUCUUGUUAACAGGAGAUCCUACUGAUGGCACCCCCAGUACCUUGCCGACGUCUCCGUCGUCGAAAGGUAAUUCUCUCCUAGCAUCAAUUAUGAUAGCAGAUGCCUUCUCGUCAACUUUGCUCAUAAGCCACAUGGAUUGUUGCCUGUUUGCCUUAUUGCUGGUAAUUCCAAUAGUCCUUCGAACCCCAUCUCACGUACCAGAGCCUUUUUUUCUUCAGACAGCCCAUCAAUCAAGGCCUUCAUCUUUUUUAUGCUGCUCCUUGAAUUUAUUGGGUUUUGUGAUGCCUUCUUCUUGCCCUUUCUAGCGCCAUCUGACUCUAACUCUUCUGGUGUACCGAUGUGUUGUGUAGGAUACACAUCGAACCCUUCUGAUGAUUCCUCAUCGGAUUGCUUGUAAUCAGAUGAGGACGAACCAGACACCAUUUUCUGCGAUGUAUUUAGAAACAAAGUCAGGCGACAUAUAUAAUAUAUAUCACGAUUAAAAAAAGAUGGUCAUCAUUGUUGUAUGAACCUAGAAAUAAUUAUCAGUUUGUCAAUCUCUACAGACAUCAUAAUAUUUCCCCCAAUUGUACACUCACAACAAUACAGUCAACAUAGUAAGAAUGAUUUUCUAAUCUAAACCAUUACCAAUCCUUCUAAGUUUCCUUACAGCCGACGGACCUCUAAAAAAUCUUUAAUCCCACUGUGUAUAAAUACUGAAUAUACAAGCCAUACUAUAGAAUGCAGAUCGACACAAAAUUAAGUCCACGGAUAUUGUAUUCUGUUAACAUGUCCUCUCUUGUUAAGCAGUCAUUCUCAUGUUUUCACAUUUCUUCCAGACAAAAUAGCUUUUUUAUGUUAAGUUCCAGCUAAGAAUUCAUUUGUGUGCAGAUAUAAAAAAUGGACACUAAAGCUCCCUAUUUUUAGAUCAUUUUCCAAAAGCUUACUACUGAUAUGUUGACCCCCACCAUGCAUAUUUUCUUUAUAUAUGUAUCGUUUUACUGUUUUCUGAUGCAAACCAUUAACACUUAUGAAUUGUAACACUUUGAUACCGCUAUUAUUAUCACAGAAUCUAAUGGGAGUUCUCUUCAACAUUAGGUAUAUAACAUCCAUGACAUGCAUCGGGUAUCUCAGGUUAGAGUUAAAAAAACUCCAUGCCGUGCAUCAGGUAUUCACAACUUCCAUAAAGAUGUAUCAGGUAUCUCUAAUCUUACCCUAAAUAUCCCAUACCAAACAAUUGCAAACAAUCAAGAACAAGAAAAACUACUUGCGUUUGGAAAUGCCACAGAAACCAAACUACUAAAAUGAUAAAUAUGUUGUUGAAGAUCCAAUCAUCAGGGAGGAAAUCAACAAACACUGCCCAACUCGAACAACGAACAUGUGGUAUCUUUUUUCCAGUAGAACCAGUGAGGAGCUCCUAGUUCUUCAUCCUUGGGGAGAAGGAGCUCCUGGUUCUUCAUGUUUUUGGGGAAGGAGCUCCUAGUCCUUCAUCCUUGUUUUGAAGGAGCUCCUAGUUCUUCAUCCAGGGUGGGAAGGAGAUCCUAUUUCUUCAGCCUUGGGGAGAAUGAGAGAGGAGCACCAAAUGCGAAUGAAUGUAUGACAAUGGACUCUACCCUCUCACAGCUCUUCCCUUCAACAAGUGUUAGGUUCUAGGUGUCUAGACAAGUGUUUGGAAUCUUUUUGUACAUGACACACAGCUACCCGCCCUUGGCUUCCAAAAAGCCCUUGAAAUCUGAGCCACAGUAGAUUCAGUUACAAAUGACUAUUUCACCCUCCUGCAGAAAGCACGCUAAAUUUUAUUAAUAGUUUAUGAAGCAACUGUACUCAAUCUGCUGAGCUCAAAACAUUGGGUUAUUAUCUUUUUUUCCAAUUGUAUUAAUUAUCUAAGCCACUAAAUGCCAUAUGAAACGUGGAUCCAUUAAGGUUCAUAUUUUGGUAUAGUUGUACAGUAUUAAACCACCUUGUUUCUAACGGUCAAAUACAGCCAGAAUGAAAUGUACAGUUGUUUGGUGUUCAGAUAGAACAUCCAAACAAGACUGUAUACUACAACGGUUGGCACACACAAACGAAAGGUUCUGCAUUGAUGGCAUUCAGGUACAUUAAUUGUUGAAUAUUAAGUGCAUAUGUAAAAGGCAUACUCCUUGGUUCACUGCCAGCUUCCCCGAACUUCUUUGAUCUUAUUAGGUUCUUCGGCACAUGAAUAUUAAGUUCAUUAGUACAAAAAAAUUGCACCUUCAUGAAAUGUGUUCCUUUUUCGUCAUCCAUAGAUCCCUAGGGCGUGGCUACACUUGUGCAAAAUGAAAACAUGCAUGACGGGUACAAAAAUAACUUGGUGGGUGACCAGGAAAUGUAGAAUGCAAGGAAUACAAAUUCUUGAUAGUUCAACACCAUCCACUUAACUAAAAGCCCGACAUUUAAAUCUACUGCUUACUUGACACUACUAGCAUUGAAGCAUUUCUUAAGAAGACGAAUGAUGCCGGUCCUAAGACUCACACUAAUGAUAAGGUUGCAAAUAUAACUAAAGGAAGGUACUUUCCUGGUUUGCUAACCCAUUUGUUCCCACUUAAUCUGAACCAACUAUUCAUUUCCCAACCCAAGCAGCCCCGAUUGCGAUCAUGGCUGCCACUGGCACGGUGGACGCGAGUGCAAGUUGUAGCACCUUGUUCAUCGUCCUGAGGUUCCUGAUCUCCCUGUUCCUAUCAGCCAUUUCCUCGAUGAACUCGUCUCGGUCUUCUGUCACCUCCCGCAGCUUCACUCGUUCAGCUUGGAUUCUCUUUUGCAUGUAUUCCUCCAGUACAUCCUCCCACACGUAGACCUCGCACGCUCUCCUCUGAACCUGUACAUAAAAAUCAAGAAACAAGAGCAAAAGAAUCUUUAGCUAGUGCAGGUACUGAACUGAAUCUGCUACAUUUUGUAUUAUCUAUAUAUUCUUACCCCAUAGUUCACGCAGCUGAAGUAGAACUUGUCCUGCCUCGCCACCGCAGAUCCAGCUUUCCUGGCGCAUGGCAUGCCGCAUGCACAUCGAAGUAUCGGAUUUCCAGUCGACAUGUUCUUGCAGAAGAAGUGUUUGUUCUUGCAGAAGAAGUGUUGUGCCGAUUCAUGUUCCAUUCCACUCGUAUGUAUAGACCUUGAAUUUAUUGUAUGCAGCUGUCUACAACCAACCAUAGUACGCAUGCUUUCGGCGCUACUGAAGGGGGCAGUGUCCGGGUCGUGCCCAUACGGUGUGCCGAUCGAACAAUAAAGUUGUGAGGUCAAAUCGACCUUAUCUCUAUUGCAUCGUUGUUUGAGAGGAGUGCAUGGUCGACUGGUCAUUUUGACUCACCCGUGAGCUGUGCAACACUCUGGAUAGUAGGGCAUGGGCGACAUGGCGUUGUACCACUCCUCCCUAAUUGAUGCAUGUUUUCUGUUAUUUUAAUACGUCCACUUUCCCUCCUCAUCUACUCCACGGCAUACACUCCCUCUUCACAUGAAUUGGUUAAUCAACAAUUCUCCAUUGGGAGAGCCUUAAACUCGUCAUUGGUAUCUCAGAGUCAGUUUGCCCCAUUUUCAUAUCAACACUGGAAAAAAAACUAUUUUCCUUAACCGUGUAUCCCACUGAGAAACAAGUCAAAAAAACUGCAUUAUCGUUCGGAUAACGCCUCCCUUGGAUCCCUCCUGCCCAGCUCCCACCUACAUGUCAAAUCAACUUAAACUGCUGCCCUGCUUGAACUCUCUAUACGCUAGUACCUCAAAGUUGUAUAUAACUCAACCAUCCCUACCUCGUUCUCCUACACACCAACGUCAUGGAUCACAAUGCCGACGAGACGGAUGCUCUGUUCACCGGCGAAGCCAUGAUUGUUCCCCCCGCACGCUCAACUGCCACUACCGUCAUCCCCGUGAGUAUUGCCACCGGCCUUUGCUUUCAAACUGGCAUUGCAGAAAUCAUUGAUAUUUUGUUAAACCAUAUUAAAUGUAUAGGCUCAUCCAUCCACUCUCAGGCCUAUGACAAUUAAGCAGUUGUAUGAUGGAUUCCUGGAGGACAUAGAGCGUUACCCUAUCGUAGUUGACGGAGACACCGUGUCAUCAGUGAGUCUAUAUAUAAAAUCAUUUAGAUUUUCAAAAACCAUCCACUAGCUGUUCUUAAUAUAUGUCUUCAUUUGAUAGGUGAUCCUGAUAGGAACUGUUUCACACUCUACUGUUCGAAUGAAUCACUGGUCCUUCGAUCUACAGGAUGCCACAGGGUUAAUCAACAUAUCUUUCUGGUACUAAUUUCAUCGUCAGUAAACUCCUUGUAUCCAAAGAACUUCAGAAACAAUGCAUUUAACCUUUUGCUCCAUUUUUUUUGUUCUUCUGUCAGGCCGGAAACAACUUCCGACUUUAAACUUGCUUGGUCAUCAAGGUCUGAUUUAUGUAUUAAGAUAAAAAUAAUAAUUUGCAGUCCUAGUUUUUCAACUAGUUGGUCAACAAGCCCACUGUUUCAAUUGUUACAUCUUAUUUGCAGCAAUGGCGACUAUGUUCAACUAUUUGGCAAACCUGCCAUGAAUGACAGAUUCCUUUAGAUUAAAGCUUUCAAGAUCAGGUUAUUUUAAACCGCAUCUUUUUUCUGUGUCAUAAAUUUUUCACAUAUAACAUUCUUUUUUACACAUAGCCAUACAUUUUAAAAAUAUUGCAGGUUAAUCGAAAACUACAAUGACACCACGCACCACUACUUGUAUACCAUACACACCACAUUAGACAUUCGUAAGAGAAACACCCACAAGGUAAUUCUUCGUGUUUUUUGUAAAAUGUACCUAAAUGAUACAUACAUUCUUUCUCACAUACAUUACCUCUCAUAGGCAAGAAUGGAACCUGACUCCACAGCAUCAACUGUUUUCCCAAAGGGGCCGUCAAUUACCCCGUCGGAGGUGCCCUUGCAUUCGUCAACAAAGGACAAGAUAUUUGCCAUCCUGCGAGACCCAGCUUACCGGUAAGUACUGUAUGGCUGGUACAUAAAGUUCUUUGAUUAUUACGAAAGCUAAAUGCAAUAUCCUGAACUAAGUUCCUUUGACCAUUAAACAUGUAUAUCCACAAAUCUCACAAAUAACAUAUAGGUCCUCGUGCCAUGCAGGACCAACAGUUAAAACAUAAAGUUCCAUGAUCCAUCCAAAGGAUAACUCCAUUUUUUUCUCUCAUUUGCCCUAACACAGCGAUAUUCAGCAUGGCGUUAGCUUGAAGUUAAUCCGUAGUGCACUGGACAUCAGCCAGGACGAGAUAAUGUAAGACAUCACAUCAUUAAAUUCAUUUAGCCUAUUUCCUUAUUCAACUUAUAGUUGACACAUUUUCCAAUUACAACUUGGCAUAAUUAACCAGGCAAGUCAUUACAGAGCAAAUCUACAUUGGGAUGAUAUACACAACUGUUGAUGACAACCACUUCAAGUCCUCCAUCUGAAUUGGUCAAUUAUCCCUGUGUUAAUUAUUAGAGCUAAAUAAUGUACUUGAGUGUCAGACAUUUAUGGUUAAGCCAUUAUGUGGAUUUUCAGUUAGACCUAUCAUGAUUGUAAUAUUUAUUUCAUCACUUUAGCAAUUCUCUCAGUUAUUUUAUUAUGUGGUUUCCCUUUCCCAAUUCUCUCGGUUAUUUUAUUAUAUGUGGUGUCCCACAUCAACACUUUAUUAUCUGGUGUGCCAUAUCAACACCUUUUUCCUGGCGCACCUGCUGGAUAGGUGCCAGUGUGCCACCCUUACACCCCAUACCACUCUUCUUCCCCAAACUAACAUCUGUCGUUCUCUAUCCACCAUGGACAUUGACCAGAUAGAUUUUUCAUCUAGCUUAGAUAACAAUAUUUUGAGUGAGAUUUUCAUCAGGCUAGGAUGCACUAGAUCCCUUGUUCGUAGUUCUGUAGUGAGUCCUAGAUGGUUUGAGAUCUGUACCUCCCAGCAGUUCAUCAUGGAGUAUGCUCGCCGCAAUGCUCCAGCCGUCCUCGGAUUCAUUGCUGCAUUCGAGCGCCUCUUCGAGCUGCACGUACGUCUUGUGGAUGUCGUUGCUUCCCCUCCUGAUCCAGGACAAGCUGCUCUGCUUGCUAGGGUUGACGUGGCAACCUUUGCCAUGGAGAACAUCCUUGCAUCUGAAGCAGGUGAGUUGCUCGUCUUGGUCAGAGGUCUCGACGGCGGGUUCUUCUCUGUCUGUCCAAAUCCUCCAUUUUCUCGGUCAUUCUUAGCCCCUAGAAUGCCUAGAGUCCCCCUGUUCCAACAUCAGCACACCCCUAAUUUAUAUGGUCAAUUUGGUGUCAUUCUCAUUGACAGCAGGCCUAAUUUUUCGUUCUUCGUUAAGCAAGCAGCAGGCCCUUUUGUCCGUUCUUAUUCUGGUUUGAGUUUCAGUUCAGUUGCUGACCUAUAUGUCCAUGUUUGCAUCCUAAAAAACAACGAAUGGUCACGCUUUGUUUCCCCACCGCUUCGAACUCCUCCUGGUAAUGAUGGACCAUUGUUCCAUUGGGAUCCAUACUAUCUCCUAGUUGGUUCCAAUCUAUACAUGAUGUAUGUGGUAGGAUUUGUGGUUUGCUUCAACAUAGAUACUUUUGUCUUCUCCACUGUCCAGUUCCCUGUAAGUGUCACUUCCUGCUUUGAUUACCACAUCUCUAGGAGCAGUUCAGGUAUCAUAUCAUUUGUUCACAGUGACAAUCUAUCACUUCGCACAUGGAGAUUAUCAUCACGAGAGCAUGAAGAAACAGCAUGGUUUCCUAUGUCAGAGAUAAACCUUGCAUCAUCCUUUGGAAGCCGAUGUCAGCAUCCCAUGUGGCGUCAAUUAUUCCUUGGAGUUGAUUUAGACGAUGGCAUUCAUUCUAUGCAAAUCAGGUCAUCUAGCAUAGAUUUGUCCUUUGUCUUCCUGAAAUUCAGCUUUCAUCAUGCAAUUUUCAUUUUGCAGCAACUCAAGCGGCAACGUACAUGAGGUGCAGUACCUUGAUGAAGAUGGCGCUCUAAGGUCUAUUGUUUCUCUUACAGAGCAUUGGCCACCAGUGGUUAAUAUGCCUAAUCAUGAUGCACCAUAGAGAUAAACAUGGCAAUGGCCGUGACACUUGUGUAUCUUCCUAUUCAAAUUUAUCUUUAAGUACUGUCCAAUGUAAUAUCUUAUUAUGUUCCUGGUUUGUAAUCUCCGAAUACUAUUCGACUUAGUAAUCCCUAUGUAUUUUUAGUCUUUGCUUUCCUAUACAUAAUCCAUUUAGCGAGAAGAAUCAUUUUCAAGCUCAUUUUGUUGCACCACGUAUUUAAAUGUAUUGAGCAUUUGUUCCGAACUUUGAAUAGGAAAAAACUGACUAUUAUGUUGAUCCACUUAUGAUAUUUAUUUCUGUUGAAAUAUUUUCGGUGUGAAGAUAUAACGAUGUAGAACAGAAAGACUUGUGGAGUAUGCCAGUCCAAUGUUUUUUUGGAGCUUGACAUAAUAUAUCAAUUGCUGAAGUCCCGAACUACUUUUUGAAUUUAUUUGUGAUUCCGCUAAACAUUUAAACACUAAAUUUUAAGGGCCUAGCAAUGCGGUACAGUUAUCCCACAUAAACCGCUCAAGCCAAUUCAGCGAUAUAUAAAUUAAGUGUGUCACGCGUUUUAUCAAAGCACUUGGAUUCUUUGUGAAUGAUUGUGAAGUUCAUUAGUUUCGACCUCUCAGGGGCGGAACACGCAUGAAUAAGUUUUUCUAUCCUAAGCGAUGAAGUGUGGUACACUUUUUAACAAAGUACUCAGAUAGUUAUGGAUGAUCUUAAAGUCCUUUCCAUUCGUCCUAUGAAGUGCGCAAUGUGCAUGAAUAACUUUUUGUAUUCUAAGUGUUUAGAAUAUUUCCUAAGACAUUUUGAAACCUAUACCUCAAGUGUGCCACACUCCAUUAGUUUCAUAUCAUUCCUCACACUCCAGGGCAAUUUUCCUAGAGUUAUUGAAUCGAUUUUAAUGAUGUUAGGGUGAUUCCCAAUCGAGGUCUGAAUUUUGGGCCUUUCAUUAAUAAAAAUGUGAUAGGUCCUUCGCGCAGUGUACCUUAUGUCCACACACCGCUUUAUAUGGUUUUAGAAAAUUAAUGAUGUUUUUUAAGGGCAUCCGCACCCAAUAGCCAUGAAUGGCUCGUUUCGUAUACAUUAAUCGCGCCUCGCAGUUUAGCAAAGUACUGACAUUGUUAUUGAGCCCUGUAAAGUUCUUUCAGGUCGACUUCUCAAGUGAGGAACCUGCAUUAACAACUUUUCCAGCAGAAAAGGUUGAAAUAAAGUCGACAAGCCCUUCGUGUCGAAUUAAUUAAUUGCACCACAUGCCUUUUAACAAAGUGCACAAUUUGCUACGGAUGAUCUAUCAAGUGUUGGGAAACGUUGCAUGUAAAACAAAAAAAAUCCUACUCACAGGCAAGAUCCAUCCAUGGAGAGUUGGUGAGCAUUUUCACACCCUUGAAGACCGCUAAGUAAAAGUGUUUAUUAACGCGGUUCAUGUAGUCAUACAUUAUCACGAUCCUUCCCUAUAAAAUUCCGAACACACGACACCUCUGUGUGCUGCAAACGUUCAUCUCAAUGACGUCCUCUCCUUCUUCACUGGGAAAUUAGUAGAUUUGUCCCGCAGCAAUACAGAAACUAGACGGGUGAUAUACUAGAUGGCACGGGAUUCCUUGGUUAAUAUUGAUGUGUCUUAUGUGCUAUUCCUGCCCCUAUAUUUAUAAGUUCAGCCCUGGUGGUGCCGGGGCUUGGAGUAAAAGCCUCAUCAAAGUGGCUUUUACAUGAAAGGCAGGAUUCAUUCUCUUACUGCGGGACCAGACGCCAUGGUUCCCGUUGUCUGGACCCAGACGCCACGGACCGAGGGGAUUGGCCACUUGACCCAAAGAAAGUGUUCUCGUGCCCAAACACUUAGGGAGACAUCUUAAACACCUUUGAUAUCAAACACUAUUAUCAGCUAUAUUAAUCUUUACCUCCUGAAUAUUCCGUAGUUCCUCAUCAUGACCGUGAUGUCAUCCAGAACUCCGAACAAAAUUUGUUCACCAACAUAGAUAACUCAUAUAAGACUAUAUCUUGAACAAAUGUUAAUCGUGCGGCCCCAUACGGGUUUGAACGCCACGUAGACAUUACCGAUACGCCUAUCAGUUCAAUAACAAGUAGCCGAACAUGGAUGACAACAUAUGUAAUUUCCAUUGCUAUCUUAAUUGCUCGAGAUUCGAUCGUUGGUAUCUUCAUACCUAGUUCAAACUCGUCACCGGCAAGUCUCUUUACUCGUUCUAUAAUACAUCAUCUCGUAAUUAACCCGUUAGUCACUUUGCUUGCAAGCUCCUUCUUCUGGUGUAUUACGAAGAUGGCACAACGAUACCUCUUCUUCACACGGAGUGACAAAAUCCAGACUCGACAAAUGCAAACCCAACAGACACAUUUGGAGAUACAUGUAGAGCAUCUUAAUAGUCACCGAGUUAGGCUGUGACGUUUGUUAGCACACAAGAUAUUCCUCCGGUAUUCAGGAGUUGCAUGAUCUCAUGGUCAAAGAAACAUGUAUAUGACAUUAAGAAUGAAGUAGCAAUAAACUAAACAAUCUAACGCUAUGCUAAUGGGUGAGUCUUCAUCAUCAGAUCAUCCUCCUUAUCAUAUGAAUGACCUGACCUCGUUAUCAAAUGACAACUCAUGUCUAUUGUUAGUAAAACAUCAACCAUCUUUUAUCAACUAGCUAGUCAGUUAGAAGCUCACUAUGUACACGGGAUUUGGUUAUGUAUCCAAACAUGUGUUCAAGAUUUCGGUCAAUACGAUUCUAGCAUGAAUAAAAAACCUUUCAUCAUGAUUAAGGAAAUAUAAUAAUGACAAUUUUAUUACCGCCUCUAGGGAAUAUUUCCAGCUGUCUCCCACUUUCAAAUCUAAUUAAUAUAAUAAUAAGGAAUAUAAUAAGGAAAUAUUAAUGCCCGUAGUUCCCAUCAACAUAUGACCAAUACCCAAAAGAGUUUACUAGAGUAAAAAAUCUAAUUCACAUCGCCCACCUAAAUAUUUCUAAGGUGUGAUCAUAUUUUGCUUGUGAAAGAUAGUUUUAGUCAACGGGUCUGAGACAUCUAGUCCCAUUUGUACUUUGCAAGAAUCUAUGUUUACAAUGCUCUGGAUAAGGCUACUUUAGCUAAUUGCCCCUACAUUUAUUACGUUUCCAUACUAAGACCCAAAGUGAUAUUUAUUGGUGACAAAGCUGUCAUCGACUUAACCCUUUAAGACGAACUAUUUAUCACCUCCAUAGCAGAGAAACAUCUCGUUUUUUCUUUUAGCAUAAUUUGUUGAGCGAUCUCCAGUUAUCCACCCCUGGAGCACUCUUGUAUCCCCUUGCCAGACACGUGGCAAGGCACACUUCUGGUCUGGUACACAGCAUGUCAUGUUUUAUACUCCCUCUGUCCGGUAAUACUUGUCGGAGAAAUGCAUAAAAAUGAAUGUAUCUAGAACUAAAAUACAUCUAGAUACAUCCAUUCCUCCUACCAGUGUUUCCGGACGGAGGGAGUAGAACCUAUGGAUGUGGCAGAGGGAAUCACUUUCACUAUCUCUCUAUUUUUAUGUUGUGGUUGGUCUUUGCGUCUUACUCAAUUUCACACCUUAGAACUCAGGCAAGAACUACCGAGGUCUCAAGCAGCGUUCAUUUUGAGCUCGUUCAAAAUCAUGUCAAUAUAUGUGCUCUGUGAAAGAAUUAUCAGGCGUCUUGAUAUAUCCCAAUACAUAAGUAGAUCUACCGAGGUCUUUCAUUCAAAAAGGUCUGUUAGAACAACUCUUUAUGCUUUGCAGAAAAUUAUAAUUCAGUCCUGAUAAACAAGUAUGUCAUCCACAUAUACUUCAGGAAUUGCUGUAGUGAUACCACCCAAUUUUAACAUAGGUACAGACUUCACCAUAAGUAUGUAAUAGAACAAUAUGCUUUAUGUAUAGAACAAUAUGCUUUGAUCACCUCAUCAAAGCGUAUAUUAUAUCUCAGUGAUUCUUCCACAAGACCAACAAUGGAUCGCUGAACUUGCAGAAUUACGGUGAAUCAUAUACUUUACACGUGUUCACUUGUACCCUUCGAUGAUGGUAUACUACUUAUGCGCUUACAUAUGUGUGAGCGGAGCUACAGAUUGAUCGAGUAUGAGUCCAAGAUGAAGAGAGCAACUCCACAAUCCAAGAGGUAUGCUUGGAAGCGAAGAAUGAACUGUCAAGAAGAAGGCGAGGUUCAAGCAGCACCGAUGGUAGUCCGCAAGAAGCCACGGUACAAGCCCAUGCACAUGGCCGAAUUCGUCAGUGCGCUUGAUACCGCGACCACACAUGCUUAGGUUACCCGGUUCACAAGGGCUGCCUCUAUGGAGCUGUUUGGAUUUUCCCACGUAAUCCCAAUUCUCCACUCCUUAACCGUUAGUCCCAUGGAUGUAUAAAUAGUCCUCCCCAUUCAGCAAUAGCCAAUAAUAGAUCUAAACAUUUGAGCUUAGAUCAUGUAUCUCCCUUUAUGGGAUUCAUCUUGAGAAAGAGAAGACUCCAUUGGAGUACAAGACCUCCACUUGUGGAGAAGCAUUGCCCAAUUGAAUCAUCAAGACCUCAUCUCCUAUGGGAUUUGGGAAGAACUCUACCUUGUAUCUUUCCAUUUGAUUGUUCAUGUAUCUUGUGGAUCUUGUGUGUUUGUUAGUCUAGUGGAUGUUUGAUUGAACUUGUUAUUGAGUGUUUCUCUUGUGUUUUCAUCUCUUGUUCUUGAUGGAAAAAUGCCCUAGAGGGAAUAACAAAGUUGAUAUUAUUGUAAUUCCUUAAUCAUCAUAAGGGAUUAAUAUUAAUUCCAGGAUUGUAUUGACCAGAAAUUUGAAUAUAUGUGUGAAUACAUAAACAAAUACUGUGUCCCUAGCGGGCCUCUACAAGGUUAUCUUGUUUCAAACAUAAAUGAUGAUGUUUUUUGUUAGGUCCUUUCUGAAACAUAAAUAUUCAAGUGUCGUCCUAACCGAAGUUGAGAAGUUCUUAGUGGCUUACGCAUUAAGUGCGCCUCCCUCUUUGUAGAAAGUACUACAUAAUGGUAUGAAUGGCGGUAAAGUUCUUUCCGGUUGUCAUCACAAGUGCGCAACGUUCAUUGAGAACAUUUCAAUCCGAACUGACAAAGAGGUGAAUAAGCACUUCGUGUCAUAUUAUUAAGUGCACCACAUGCCUUGGCGGAGUACUAAUGAACUUGUGUAUGCUCGAGAAAUUUGUCUAUGUAUAACAUAUGAAGUGCAGAGCAUGCAUGAAUAACCUCUCCUACCCUAAGUGAAAAUUUCAUUUGCUAAACCCUAUAUAAAGUGCGGAAUAUGAAUAAGCACUGUGCGUCAUAUAAUUAAGUGCACCACAUGCAUUAGCGAAGUACUCAAGAAGUCGCGUACGUUCGUGAAAAGGUCUAUAUGUUUGACAUAUAAAGUGCGGAAGGUAGAUGUAUAAAGUAUCUCACUCAGGCGACGGAGUUCACAUGACCUCGAAGUACUCAAGAAGCUUUGUACGCUCAUGAAAAUUUCUAUAUGUUUGACAUAUAAAGUGCGGAAGGUAGAUGGAUAAAGUGUCUCUAUCAGGCUAUGGAGUUCACAUGACCUCAAAUGCGCCACAUGUAUUUGUAAAAGUUCCGUGGAAUAUUAUGGAAAACGGUGUUUUCAUUUCUGGUCGACCUCUAAGUGCGGAAGAAUUCAAAGAUAAUUUUUUAUUAAUUAAGCCCUACGUGUGCUCCAAGUUAAGUGCGCCUUUCUUUCUGGUAAAGUAUUGAGAUUCAUAUAAAUGACGUUUCAGACAUAAAUGGCGACACUCUUUGGUUAGUCCUUCCUGGUCGACAUAUAAGUGCGAAAUUAUGCAUGAAUAAGAUUUUCAUUAAGCCCCACAUGUUGUCUAACUUAAGUGCGGCAUUCCUUCUAUUAAAAUACUAAGAUUCAUAUGGACAUUGUUAAAUUCCUUUCUGUUUGGCAACUCGAGUGUGGAACGUGCGUGAAUGAUGUUUCAAACAUAAAUGAUGAGGUUCUUUGCUAAGACCUUCUUGAAACCUAAAGAUUCUAGUGUCGUCCUAACCGUAGUUGAGAAAUUUUUAGUGACUUAUACAUUAAGUGCGCCUCCCUCUUCGUGAAAAGUACUAAGAAAGGUAGGACGGGCGGUAAAGUUCUUUCCGGUUGGCAUCUCAAGUGCAGAACGUUCAUUGACAACGUUUCAAUCCAAAAUGACAAAAAAUUGAUUCAGCACUUCAUGUCAUGUAAUUAAGUGCACCGCAUGCCUUAGCGGAAUACUUAAGAAAAUGUGUAUCCUCGAAAAAGUUCUCCAUCUAUGACAUAUGAAGUGCGCAGCAUGCAUGAAUAACUUCUCCUACCCUAAGUGGAAAAUUCAUUCGCUAAGUCCUUUAUAAAGUGUUGAACGUGAAUAAGCAGUGCGUGUCAUAUAAUUAAGUGCAAUACAUGCAUCAGCGAAGUACUCAAUAAGUUGUGUACGCUCGAGAUAGUUCUAUAUGUUUGACAUAUAAAGUGCGGGAGGCAGAUGGAUAAAGUGUAUCUCUCAGGCGAUUGUAUCUCUCAGGCGAUUGAUUUCACACGCAUGAGUGUAAGUUCCUUGUAAUAUUAUGCAAUACGGUAUUUUCAUUUAUGAUGGAACUCUAAGUGCGGAAGAAUGCACGGAUAACUUUUCCACUAAGCAUUACGUGUGUUCCACAUUAAGUGCGUCAUUCCUUCUAGUAAAGUACCGAGAUUCAUAUAGAUGUUGUUAAAGUUCUUUCUGUUCAGCAAAUCAAUUGCGAAACAUGCGUGAAUGACGUUUCAAACAUAGAUGAUGAGGUCCUUUGAUACCGCCUUUCUGGUCGACCUCUAAGUGCGACAUAUGCACAAAUAAGUUUUACAUUAAGCCCUACUUGUCGUCUAACUUAUGUGCACCAUUCCUUCCAGUAAAGUCAUAAGAUUUGUAUGGACGUUGCUAAAGUUCUUUCUCUUCGGCAACUCGGGUGCGAAUGUGCGUAUUAUGUUUCAAACAUAAAUGAUGAUGUUCUUUGCUAAGUCUUUUUUUGAAACCAAAAAGUUCAAGUGUUGUCCUAACCAAAAUUGAGAAGUUAUUAGUGGUCUAUAAAUUAAGUGUGCCUCCCUCUUUGUGGAAAAAACUAAAACAUGGUAUGAAUGGCGGUAAAGUUCUUUCCGGUUGGCAUCAAAAGUGCACAAUGUUUAUUGACAAUGUUUCAAUCCGAACUAACAAAGAGGUGAAUAAGCACUUCGUGUUAUAUAAUUAAGUGCACCACAAGCCUUGGCGGAGUAGUCAACAACUUGUGUACGCUCGAAAAAGUUCUCUGUGCAUAACAUAUGAAGUGCAGAGCGUGCAUGAAUAACUUCUCCUACCCUAAGUGGAAAAUUCAUUUGCUAAGCCCUUUAUAAAGUGCGGAGUGUGAAUAAGCGAUGUGUGUCAUAUAAUUAAGUGCACCACAUGCAUUAGCGAAGUACUCAAGAAGUCGCGUACGUUCAUGAAAACUUCUAUAUGUUUGACAUAUAAAGUGCGGAAGGUAGAUGUAUAAAGUGUCUCUUUCAGGCGAUGGAGUUCACAUGACCUCGAAAUACUCAAGAAGUUUCGUACGGUCGCGAAAAUUUCUAUAUUUUUGACAUAUAAAGUGCGGAAGGUAGAUGUAUAAAGUGUCUCUCUCAGGCGAUGGAGUUCACAUGACCUCAAAUGCGCCACACGCAGUUGUAAAAGUUCCUUGGAAUAUUAUGCAGUACGGUGUUUUCAUUUCUGGUCGACCUCUAAGUGCGGAAGAAUGCACAUAUAACUUUUCAAUUAACUAAGUCCAAUGUGUGCUCCAAAUUAAGUGCGUCAUUUUUUCUGGUAAAAUACUAAGAUUCAUAUGAAUGAUGUUUCAAUUAUAAAUGGUGAGGUUCUUUGGAUAGUCCUUCCUGGUCGACGUAUAAGUGCGAAAUUAUGUACGAAUAGGUUUUACAUUAAGCCCUACAUGUCGUCUAAUUUAAGUGCGACAUUCCUUCUAUUAAAGUACUAAGAUUCAUAUGGACAUUAUUAAAUUCCUUUCUGUUUGGCAACUCGGGUGUGGAACGUGCGUGAAUGAUGUUUCAAACAUAAAUGAUGAUGUUCUUUGCUAAGUCAUUUUUGAAACCUAAAGAUUGUAGUGUCGUCCUAACCGUAGUUGAGAAGUUCUUAGUGACUUAAACAUUAAGUGCGUCUCCCCUCUUUGAAAGUUAUUAAAACCAUCGUAGGAAGGGCAGUAAAGUUUUUUCUGAUUGGCAUCUCAAGUGCAGAACGUUCAUUGACAAUGUUUCAAUCCUAAAUGACAAAAAAUUGAUUCAACACCUUAUGUCAUAUAAUUAAGUGCACCACAUGUCUUAGCGUAGUACUCAAGAAAAUGUGUACGCUCGAAAAACUUCUCUAUGUAUGACAUAUAAAGUGGGCAACGUGCAUGAAUAACUUCUCCUACCAUAAGUGGAAAAUUCAUUCACUAAGCCCUUUAUAAAGUACGGAACGUGAGUAAGCAGUGUGUGUCAUACAAAUAAGUGCACCACAUGCAUCAGCGAAGUACUCAAUAAGUUGUGUACGCUCGAGAAAGUUCUUUAUGUUUGACAUAUAAAGUGCGGAAGGCAGAUGGAUAAAGUGUAUCUCUCAGGCCAUGGAUUUCACAUGACCUCAAAUGCGCCAUACACAUUAGUGAAGGUUCCUUAUAAUAUUAUGAAUUACGGUAUUUUCAUUUCGGGUGCAAACGUGCAUGAAUUAUGUUUCAAACAUAAAUAUGAGGUUCUUUGCUAAGUCUUUUUUUGAAACCUAAAAGUUCAAGUGUCGUCCUAACCAAAGUUGAUAAGUUAUUAGCGGUCUAUACAUUAAGUGUGCCUCCCUCUUCGUGGAAAGUACUAAAACAUGGUAUGAAUGGUGGUAAAGUUCUUUUCGGUUGGCAUCAAAAGUGCACAAUGUUUAUUGACAAUGUUUCAAUCCGAACUAACAAAGAGGUGAAUAAGCACUUCGUGUCAUAUAAUUAAGUGCACCACAUGCCUUGGCGGAGUAGUCAAGAACUUGUGUACGCUCGAAAAAGUUCUCUGUGUACAACAUAUGAAGUGCAGAGCGUGCAUCAAUAACUUCUCCUACCCUAAGUGCAAAAUUCAUUUGCUAAGCCCUUUAUAAAGUGCGAAAAGUGAAUAAGCGAUGUGUGUCAUAUAAUUAAGUGCACCACAUGCAUUAACGAAGUACUCAAGAAGUCGCGUACGUUCGUGAAAAUUUUUAUAUGUUUGGCAUAUAAAGUGCGGAAUGUAGAUGUAUAAAGUGUCUCUUUCAGGCGAUGGAGUUCACAUGACCUCGAAGUACUCAAGAAGUUUCGUACGCUCGUGAAAAUUUCUAUAUUUUUGACAUAUAAAGUGCGGAAGGUAGAUGUAUAAAGUGUCUCUCUCAGGCGAUGGAGUUCACAUGACCUCAAAUGCGCCACACGCAUUUGUAAAAGUUCCUUGGAAUAUUAUGGUGCACCACAUGCAUUAGCAAAGUACGCAAGAAGUUAUGUACGCUCGGGAUAGUUCUAUAGGUUUGACAUAUAAAGUGUGAAAGCUAGAUGGAUAAAGUUUCUCUAUCAGGCGAUGGAUUUUGCAUGACGUCAAAUGCGCAACACGCAAUUGUAAAAGUUCCUUGGAAUAUUAUGGAAUACGGUAUUUUCAGUUCUGGUCGACCUCUAAGUGCGCAAGAAUGCACAGACAACUUAUUAAGCCCUACGUGUGCUCCAAAUUAAGUGCGUCAUUCUUUAUAGUAAAGUACUGAGAUUCGUAUGGAUGUUGUUAAAGUUAUUUCUGUUUUGCAACUCGAGUGCAACAUAAAUGAUGAGGUUCUUUGGUAAGUCCUCCCUGGUCGACCUCUAAGUGCAAAGUCAUGCACUAAUAAGUUUAGAUUAAGCACUACGUGUUGUCUAACUUAAGUACGUCAUUCCUCCUAGUAAAUAACUAAGAUUCAUAUGGACGUUGUUAAAGUUUUGUAUGUUCGGCAACUCGGGCGCGGAACGUCCGUGAAUGAUGUUUCAAACAUAAAUAUUGAGGUUCUUUUCUAAGUCCUUUUUGAAACCUAAAAAUUCUAUUGUCGUCCCAACCGACGUUGAGAAGUUCUUAGUGAAUUAUACAUUAGGUGUGCCUCCCUCUUCGUGAACAGUACUACAAAAAAUGGUAUGAAGGGCAGUAAAGUUCUUUCGGGUUGGCAUCUCAAGUGCACAACGUUCAUUGACAAUGUUUCAAUCCGAAAUGACAAAAAGGUGAAUAAGCACUUCGUGUCAUUUAAUUAAGUGCACCACAUGCAUUAGCGUAGUACUCAAGAUCAUGUGUACGCACGAAAAAGUUCUCUAUGUAUGACAUAUGAAGUGUGUAGCGGCCAUGAAUAACUUCUCCUACCCUAAGUGAAAAUUUUCAUUUGCUAAGCCGUAUAUAAAAUGCGAAACGUGAAUAAGCACUGCGUGUCAUAUAAUUAAGUGCACCACAUGCAUUAGCGAAGUACUCAAGAAAAUUCUAUACAUUUGACAUAUAAAGUGCAGAAGGUAGAUGGAUAAAGUGCCUCUAUCAGGAGAUUGAUUUCGCAUGACCUUAAAUGCGCCACAUGCAUUUGUAAAAGUUCCUUUGAAUAUUAUGGAACAUGAUAUUUUCGCUUCAGGUCGACCUCUAAGUGCAGAAAAAUUCACGGAUAACGAGUCCAUUAAGCUCUAUGUGUGCUCCAAAUUAAGUGCGCCAACAUAGUAGUAGUAUAGCUUGUUGGAGUAAAACAUGUACUUUUGAUUUUAUUUAUCAAAAAUCCUAGUUCAUCGCAUGGUUUUGUUAUCAUAACUCUGUUUCAUCAAGUUUUAUUCUGAAAGUGAUAUGAGAUUUUAGCCAAGCUGUUUUUAAAUUUUUGAGCAGGCAUGUAAUUCAGGCAAUAGAUGAGCUCCCAGCCUCCUUAGACUGGCAUGGGCACAUCAAUAAGGGCAUGGAGCCCAUCAAAGAGGAGGUCGGAGCGGCGUUGGACCUGGAUCAACUCAUCUAAAUCAAGCGGCCAGCUACGGCUGGGAGUCCCCAACGCUCCACCUGGACGGCGUCGGCUGGGAGCUGCAACAGCUCCACAUGCAAUGGCUGGCCAGGGACCAGACCUCGACAGGAACGUGUUGCCCUUUGAGCCGGUGCAGAGCGACAAGUUCAUAGCAUCGUUAUAGUUUUUUGCACAAAGAUAGACCCUGUAGUACUACUGAUCAGGUGAAACACAUCGACGUGGCACUGGUACUGAACUGAAGCAACGAUUUGUUCAACAAAAUAUGAUCCAAAUAGAAAAUGAGUGGGCAUAUUAGUUUCUAUAACAAGGAAUCGUCGCCGGUUUUGUGCCAUUCAUGUGUUUUUUCCUAUAUAUAGGAUUGCUCUUUCGUUUUGGUUUGUCAAGAUUUGAAAUGGUUGUGGUGGUUAAUAUCUCUGUAGGUGUUCUUUGACCUCGAGAAUGGCAACCAGGAGCUCAAGAGCGACGUCAAGGACCUCUACAUCAACCUCGGGCAAGUAAAGACAUGUUUGAAGUGGAAAUGUAUCCAUUACAGUUAGUUGUUGUUGUCAACGAUUUUUUUGGAGAAGAACUAAUAGUAUGAUAGUGAAGUAAUCUAAUUCAAUUUCCUUUUUCAUUGCAACCACUUAAUUUCAAUCGGGUCAAAAUAAAAAAUCAAAGACAAAAUUUUUCAGCCAUAAGUAGAACACCGGAGCUAAUUGAUACACCAUUUUGAAAAUUGAUACACUGUUGCAGGGAGAGCAGCACACGCAGCGGUGGUCAAGGGCUUAGUACCUGUUGACCUCGUCCGUGGUCGCUGUUGGUCGGUGAAGGAGGCAUGCAUGAGGUGGUGCAAGGGCAUGCUGGUGACGGAGUCGCGCAUCAUGAGGCCGGGUGAGUAACGCUCGGGAACUGCCGGGCGCUCAGACUGACGCGGGAUUGGGUUGGCGCGGUGACUCAAGGAGGAGGAUGUAGUUAUGGGGGAGGGAGUGACGACGGAGGGGCUUCGAUGGCCCAACGAGACCCUACAUCAUAAUCAAGGAGGACCCUACAUCUAAAGAAAAUAGAGCAGUCUAUAUCAUUAGUCUAUUACUGGAUUUCUAGAAGAAGGAAAAAGGGAGAAAUGGUUGUUUCUGCUACUCUACAUUUGCUUUAAAAUUGGUGUACAUAUAUCAAGAAGAAGUUGGUUGCAAAAGUGAUCAAACAUAACAUUCAACACAAACACAUUGGUUUUGUAAUUAAAUGCCUAAGAUCUUAUAAUUUUGAAUUAAAUUGUUUGAUUAUACAAUCAGUUCAUAUUAUUUGGUGUAGCAUGCUGUUUAACAUUUUAGAGUUCCAUCCUUUUUAGUAACGAAAUAAUGAUGAACUCAUAUUAGUGGAUCCAUAAAAGUGUAUGCUAUUAGUUUGACGAGGUUAUAUAGCAAGGCAAUUCUUAUUUGACGAGAAUAAUGAAAAACCAAGAAGCAAAAGAAGAUAAAUUUGGAAAGAAGAGAUAAUUUUUCGCUCGAGGGUGGGGCUGUAAGGAAUCCGUGGCACGAGUAAACAAAAGCAUCUUGGUCGCCAUAUAGAAAAACAUCUUGGUUGCCUCCUCUCUAUCUCGCCCAUCUUGUUGCCAGGCAUGGAAGAGAGGAGGGAGAGCCGAGGAGCAUGGUGGCCUCUGGCUGUUGCCUGGGAAAAGGUAAAGGCCGUGGCACGACUGUCCGUCGCAAUGCCGCUGCUCCUUGCGUGCUUGUUUCCCUCCUUACACCCCCACGUCCAACUCGAUCUUUAGCUGCCGCAACGUCGUAGAUGACCAAGUCUAGCGCCCACGCCCGCCGCCAUCUUGUGAAUGGCCAACUGAUAGCCGAUGAUGGGGAAGGUUUUGAUAGUAUGAUAGUAUGAUGUGUGUUAGCUGAUUGUCAAGAAAAAGAUGUGAGUUAGUUGAGACCGCUUUAUUCUUGGUUAUUUUAGCUCCGUGAGUAGCAUCUUAAAUUUUUCCAAAAUCCCGUGGCAACGCACGGGCGUUUUACUAGUAUUAUUAGUUGCUCAAAUGAAUAUGUCUAGCACUAAAAUACAUCUAAUAUAUCUGUUUGAGCAACACAUAAUAUGAAUGGGAGGGAUUAGGUGUAAAUUGGAAGUGGCGGCCCCGGCAAGGCCUCGCUACUCGCUAAGACUACGUCCGAAACGGGGAUGACAUGGCUUGCAGCCGUGUAGCCAGUAGAGAAAGAGAAGAAACUUGAUCGACGCGAGUGGAUGGCCUUUUAGCUCCGGCUCCCACUCGGAUUAGAUAGCUACCUCGCUGGAGGUGGAAUGGAAAUAUUAUGCGGUACACAAUAUGUCAAGGCUGAGAUUUGACCCUUCGGCAAUGGAGAGAUACACUCUGGGCCCACUCAAUAUUACGGUAUCCAACAUCGUGUGGCAGGUAUAGUGACUAAGGUGUUAGUCGCGAGGAUACCGGGAUAGAGAGAUACACUAAGGAGUUUUAGAAUCAAAAUCAGGAUGUCGUAUCCCUUGUUUGUAGGAGGGUUUCUGACGAAAGGAACAAUGCUCUACUAGCCCCUUAUUUUGCCAAGGAUGUUCGUAUGGCUCUAUUUGAUAUUGGUGCUUUAAAGGUUUUGGAACUUGAUGGGCUUUAUGUAAUUUGCAAUCUGAAUUGCGACCUAUUCUCUUUCAAUGCUAUGAUUUUUUUUCCAUAAAAAAAUACUAUGAAAUUCCAUUCCCAUUAGAAUAUUCAUUGACAUGUAAAAAAGAGGAAAGCUCUAAUAUGAUAGAAAAUAAUAAUCUAUUUUAACCCAUUUGCGAGAAAGCGUGAACUAAGAGACUUGAAAUUUUGACUUGAACAAUAAGAAUUUACGAUUUGUAUAGUCGGAUUGAAAUUAGCAAGUAAAUUGGUUGUCUUAUUUUUAAUAUAAAGUAUUGCAAUAUCUAUGAAUUACAAAAUUCAUUUAAGUGAAAAAAAGUGCAUUACAGGCGUAUGAUCAUUACCCAUCAAGCAGGUUAUUCGAUUCCACCUCUAUACAUAUAAAAAAACUAAAAGAGAAUACAUAAUAAUACAGUGAAACAUUUAUAGAACACCUAUACCAAGCACACGCAAGGGAAACAUAGACGGGCAAGUGAAAUCCAAUCCACGAAAUAAUUUAAUCCAUCGAAGAUCAGUGUAUCGAUUGCUCCUAAAGAUGGGAAUGCGAAAGAAGAUGUCGAUGGAUUCUAUAGCGUGAGCAUGCGGUGCACCCCCGAGGGUCUGCUAGACCGGUUGAUGCUCCCGGCUAGUUGGCGGGCGGCUUGGUGAGGUCAUCGGAUUUCUUGGUGUGUGUGGCGAGGUUGUAAUUCCAGAGGAGUCAUUAUUACAAGGCAUAAAGAGGGAGGUCAUAAGCGCCUAUACCUUAAAAUAGUUUUUUGAUGGAUUCAGAAGACAUAUCUUGUAGAAAGUGUGUGCAUGACCAUGAGUCAUUGUGUUAUAUCUCAUCUACACCUAGUGUGAACAUUGUUUAAUAGAUUGUAGCAGCAGUAGUAGCAAUUCAUGUUGUUUCCGAUCAUAGAACAGAACGGAAGAACUUGUAUUUUGCACAAUCAUUUAGUUUCAGCUGUGUUUGUUCCAUGAUCUUAAUCAGAUUUCCAAACAUAAUAAUGAAACAUCUGUCACAUAACACGUUGUCACACUGACAAGCAGUCUGUUUAAAAAGAUAUGGAAUUCGAGGAUCAUCAUUACAUUUCCAAUACACAUCAGGACAUUGAGUUUAUGUCCGAAGUGCUUUGAUUUGUUAAGCUGCUCAUCUAAACCACGAUUCAAAUGUUCUGUUGCAUUGUGUCCUGAUGUGUCCAAGUACGCCACACUUCCCGCACUUUGGUUCUUUCCUCUGCUUCUUGUUUGAUCCGUCAUUUGUUGGGCACUUCCCAGAGUUGUGUCCCUUUCCCCUGCAAGUUUUACAAAACUUGGUUCUUGGAUUGCUCACUUCAUAGCCUGGCCUAGAUCUUGCGUUGGUAGGUCGCCCACGAUCUCUCUUGCGAGAUUCUAUCCUCAUUGAUGAUUUGAGAUUAAUGUCGCCUGCAUCAACCCCGUUGAUAUCAAUGUUUUCUUUACCUAGUAUAUCCUCUAGUCCUUUGCCAUCUUUCUCAGUUGCUUUUUCUUUGAGAUCAUCCCUUGCAUCUGACAGCCUUACCAUUGCAAGGUCGAAGGCCUCAGGGUUGCUGUCACCCAUCCUUACAAUAUCAAGAGCUGUUGUGUAAAGUGUUGUAUGCCUGAAGGUAGUUGAUUCCAGGAUAGGGCUGUGUCCCUUAUAUAUUUUCAAGUGCUCAGGUAAAUCUUCACAUGCGUUUUUAGUCCACCUCCUCAUGAUGUGCUCUUCUGGUAUCUUCGUGAAUUUCAAGUGUGCCAUUACCUGAAACAUUAGUUAGCACGUUUUAAACAGAUUCAAUAAUGAUCUUCAAAUUCUAACAUAACCUUUUAAGGAAAACAUUUUACCCGGAUCGCAUGGCAGCAGAGCAAACCCAUAUGCUCAUACAUUCCACACUCGCAUUUGAAGAUAUUCUCAGGUUGAUGCACUUUGACAUUGUAAGAUGUUUUUGACCAGCUCUCUCUCCGCUCUGCAAAAAGGUGUGUGACACAAUAUGUAUCGUUUAUGACCAGAGUGUUCUCGACGUAGUAGGAUGCAGAUUUGAAGCAUGCUUCUUGGAACUGUUUGAACAGCGCAGGUGUGUAAACCUUCGCAGCAUGCCUCUCCAUAGGCAAACCGGUCUUGAGCACUGUGCUCACCUAUAUUAAGAACAACGAAAAUUAUAGUCAGAAUUGUUUGUCCCAACAGUUAGAAAAAGUAAGCUAAUAACUUAGUAUUUAGUACAGUUAAGGCCAUUAAACACACCAAGUGGCUUUUCUUCUCAGCAAAAUUUUCUUCUGAAUCACGGUCAAACUGAAGUUUCUGGUAGUUCCUAACAAACAUGUGCAUUGAGGCACCAGCAGGUACAAAAUUCUUCAACAUGUGGUUAGCGCUCUCUGACCGUUGGGUGCUUGUCAUCCUCGCGCAGAAUACACCUGCAAAAUAUGGCUUUGCCCAUUUCUGUCGGAGCUCGUAUAUCUGUGUCAACAUUGGGUGUUCCUGAAGACCAUACUUUUGAAUCAACUUUGCCCAAGCUGCUUUGAACUCUUCUACAGUGAGCAUAUAUUCCAAUAUCUUGUGUAGUUCAUCCCUGAAAUCUUUGUUCUGUGUGUAUACAGAGCCAAGGGAUUCCUUUGCACGACGCAGCACAUGCCAUUUGCACCACCGGUGCUUCGUUCCAGGCAAUACUUCAGCAAUAGCCAACUCCAUGGCACGGCAUUGGUCUGAUAGGAAUUUUAUGGUCAGUACGUGAUAAUGAAGGUACAAGAUAAAUUACAUGUUUUGAAAUGCAUUAGGAGGCUCCAAUUAUUUACCUGUUAGGAUAGUUACCGGUGCUUUACCUCCCAUUAAUGACACAAAUUCCUUGAAUACCCACUCGAAUGAUUCUUGCUUCUCGUUCCUCAUCAUAACGCCUCCUAAUAUUAUGCUCUGGAAAUGAUGGUUGACCCCAACAAAUAGUCCGAAUGGCAUAUCGUACUGGUUUGUACGAUAUGUUGUGUCGAAUGUGAUUGCAUCGCCAAACAUUUUGUAUUGGUAUCUACUCCUUCCAUUUGUCCACAUAAGAGCCUGAAUCUUGCUGUCGCCGUCGACAAGAACACUGUCAGCAAACAUUGGGUCAUUCUUCUUAAGUUCAGAGAAGAGUUGAACUGUUUUCCUUAUGUCAUCAUCUGCAGUUUCUUGGUUCAUCCUCUUGCACAUGUACUUGAGAGCUCUCUUGUUGAAUGGUACACUCUCCAUUGAUCCAAAGAAGCUUGCCAUGACACAAAAAACCUUGGUUAUCCCAAUGUUGUUGCUCCUCAAGUGCUUGACAAUAUCUUUUGUGUGUGUGUCAAUGUUCCUGUGUGAUGGCCAAUGUAGUUUCUCGCCACACGAUGAGGACAAAUGGUGGUUGUGUUCAGAUCUAAAAUCAUGUAUAUACCAUCCAUUGUCGGCUGUGCGGUGUAGCCUGAUCAAGGCUUGGCAGUUGCAGGCUACUGACUUUGUGUUUUCUUUCUUUGGCCUUCCCUGAAAUUAUAACGGUAGCGCAACAUUAGUAUUUUUAGUGGCUAAGAAGCAUGUCAUCCAAAGAAUCACUUGAUGCUGUCUAUACUCACCGCACAGCCGCAAACGAUGUCCUGAACGGUUCUGCUCUUCUUUGCAUUUGUCCUAGAUUGACCAUAUCUGAUGCCAAACCCAAUCUCCCAAGAAUAAAGAUUAUAAAAUUCAAAUGCCUCCGCAAGUGAGUCGAACUCUCUUCCAAUCUCAGGGGCGACAACUUGUCCAGACUUCCUUUGAACAAAUUCACGCAUUGCUUUUUCGAGCGCACAGACCCUUCCCUAUUUAGGCUGCCGCUGAUCUGGUAUUUUCCCACGACGUAUCCUGACAGAAAUGAAAGUAAACUUCUCAGGGAAAGACUGAGUUAUGUGGCGAAUCUUAUCUGCAUUUUCAUGAAAGACUAAGUUUCAAUAUGAUUUUUGCAGAGCUAUUUGGAGUCCUAGAUGACCAUAAAAAGCUGUCACAACCCAUAAUUCCUCGCAUGUAAAACUAACCAUACUGCACAUACAGCAGUUACCAGUUCAUGGAGUUCUGAACUUUAUGGCUGCUCAAUGUUAUAUGAUUAACGAGAUAUGCACACAAGCUACAAAUGGUUCAGACCAAAAAGUUCAGUAUGUAACCCAGAUUAGAAUCCAAAGUCCAAAAAACAGAUUCAGUCCCAGCUUCCUCUACUGCAAUGUAAAUAUUGCAGUGAUUGGAGUUGCAUAUAGACACAGUUUCUUUCACUGAAAAAACCACCAUGUUGACUGUAAUCGCUGAUAAGUUAGUGCAGUAUGCAACUCCUUGUAAUCGGUAACCACAAAGCAUUCAACAGGAUGCAAAGGAAAAGAACAUGGAGACCUAAGCGGCAGAUGUGGUUACCUUCUCUUCCAUGGACAUUGGUCAGGACGAGAUUGGUCUGACUGAACCAGGUUUGGCUUGUUGGUUUGCUCUGACAGCGGCGACUCCAAGCAUUCAUCUCCUGACCAAGUGUAUCCAUCGAGCUCUGGCGUUGGCGAGCGGAGCUUGGCAUCGUCGUUCUCACAAUUCACCUCGCCGUCGGCCUCAUAGAUGGGGGAAGUUGGAUCUGGUAUGGUGGGAGAGGACUGAAAUUGAUCCUCGGUGUCGAUGCCGCCCCCGCAAUGGUUUCCGCCCUCCGUCCAAUCUGUCUCUCCCACAUACUCUUGUUCUUCUUGCUGGGUCCAACAGAGAUUUGGAUCUUGGGAAGGGAUGGAGGAGAAGCUGUCCGCCGGAGGGCAUGUGAGAUGAAUCGUUGAGGAACAAAGAUUUGAAUGGAUUGCCAAUGGGUUUGAGCAUACCUUAGAAGUAGUUGGGUGAACGAUCCAGGCGCGAGGACCAUCCGUGGCGGCGGCGUAUCCAUCGCCGGACGGGAGAUCUUUUGCGGAAUUCUCUCCGAAAUCUCGGAGCUCUAGUCAGGAACUGGGAGCUGUUCAAAUUUUGAAUGGUUUGCUCCUCCCAUAGGUUGGGGUCGUUUCCACAGCACAGGUAUGGGCCGCCGCUCGUAUCUGAAUACGUAUGGUAGGAAUGGUCUCUGUAUUCCUGGCGUAUUGGUUUAGGAAAAGAUGCGAGGUGGGGUCGGAGGGAAUUGCCACAUGGGCUGCGGGUCCGGCUGGUGUGGAUCCACACGCGCUCGCGAGCGGUUGGGAUAGCCGCUGUGAACGGAACGCGAAAGUAAAAGGCUUUAUCGGGUAUGUAUCUGGUGUUGAUGAAGGCGGCGUAUAUUUCAGUGAUCUCUGACACCUUGCGCACUCGACGGCUGCGACGGAUUACGCAGCUUGGUUCCUUAGGAGUGAGUCCAUGCAGCUAGCAUUGUGCUGCAAAUGCGGAGCCAAUACCGGAUUUCAGGGACGUCGUCCGCGUCGGCGUCGGCGUCAGCCACGCUGGCAGGCCGGAUGGCGGGGUGCAUAUCGGAUAGCUGAAAAAUCCACCAGCCAAUAAAAUAAGUAAGUGGCUCGCUAGUAAUUCCGGAACAUUAAUGGAGAUAAAAGGAGACAAUCUAGCAUGAAGAUUAUACAUGAAACGACGGAAAUCACAAACAAAGAAAGAAUCUCACGGGAUGCAUGGAUGGAAAUUGCAGGGCCAUACGGAAUACCUUAUUUGUUGUUGAUAAUUGCCCCAGAUCCCAUUAUUUCGGUGCAGAUGUGAUUUGGAGAGAGAGAGAUCUUUGGAUGGCAUCGAUCCAGGAAAGGCUGCGCCAUAAAAAUCGGGACAUCCGGCCAACAACUAAUCGGGUUCAAGAUUAAUUACGUUUUACUGUGCCCGAUCCGUUUAGGAAUGCACGAAUCUCAAAGAAUCUAACGGCAAUAGAGAUGUAGGUAACUACCACCUAGUGGUAGGAUGUAUUUUUCCUAUGUGUGUGUGUGUGUGUGUGUGUGUGUAUAAGAUGCACGCACAUAUGCAUUGCUUGAGUAUGUAUGCAUACUCUCUGUAAAUGUAUGUAUGCAUUACAAAAUUAAGAAAGUGAUAACAGAGCAUCUGAGUUUCCAUAUGGAACAGGGAGGGGUGGUUGUGGUUGUAACAGCAAAGUGUUUUAGCUCACUCCAGCCUUGAUCCGGCAAGAGCAUCUGAGCUUCCAUAUAUAUGAUCAUAUCUUCAAAAGGAAAAACUUCUUCCUGAAUCAAGCUAGCUCAUAUCCGGAGAGAAAAUCUUCUCCGAGAAAGAAUGUCAUGUGCAUCAGGAGAAGCUUCUUGCAGAGUCAUGCCGUGUGCAGCAGAAGAAGCUUCUUCGUCGGUAUAAAGAGAGGGGCAGCCCAUCGACUGUCACAACUCACAAGCAAGAGGAAGAACUAGAACCAAUGGAGAGGAAGAACAGGAGAGUGAAGGCUGCGGCCGUCUGCGUGCUCCUCGCCGUCCUGCUGUCGGCGCAGCAGCUGCUGGUGGCCGGCGCCGCGCCGGNNNNNNNNNNNNNNNNNNNNNNNNNNNNNNNNNNNNNNNNNNNNNNNNNNNNNNNNNNNNNNNNNNNNNNNNNNNNNNNNNNNNNNNNNNNNNNNNNNNNNNNNNNNNNNNNNNNNNNNNNNNNNNNNNNNNNNNNNNNNNNNNNNNNNNNNNNNNNNNNNNNNNNNNNNNNNNNNNNNNNNNNNNNNNNNNNNNNNNNNNNNNNNNNNNNNNNNNNNNNNNNNNNNNNNNNNNNNNNNNNNNNNNNNNNNNNNNNNNNNNNNNNNNNNNNNNNNNNNNNNNNNNNNNNNNNNNNNNNNNNNNNNNNNNNNNNNNNNNNNNNNNNNNNNNNNNNNNNNNNNNNNNNNNNNNNNNNNCUACAAGCCGCUCUGCGUCGUGGUGUGCGCCCUGGGCGGCCAGAUGGGUGGCGGCUGCCCGGGUGUCUGCGGGGAGGCCUCGGACAAUGUCUUGUAUGGUGGAAUAAACAAAUAAAUUGAUAUGGAAAAUCAUACUCCCUCCUUUCCAGUUUAUAGGGCUUAUCUCAAAUUUUUAGUUUUUUCAUUUUAUAAGGCUCAAUUUGAUUGUUCCCCAUCACAUGUUCAGACUUCAAGGUGCAUUAAAUUAUUGCAUGCAAGUAUUAAGAGAAAACUGACCAAUGCAUGCAUGCAUUGCAAUUAAUGCAUUCAUAAACGUAAUGUUUUGAGGAAAACAAAAGCAUUAAUUGGGUGCUUUUGCAAACUACAAAAAAUAUUCCACCACUCAUCAUCUAUCUUGGUUGGUGAGAUUUUUGAAUUGAGCCUUAUAAACCGGAAAGGAGGGAGUAUAUGAGAAUUUGGUUGGGUUGUCACUCGAUCGGUUUAGUGGAAUGUUACUAUGUUCUUUGUGAAAUGUUGUAGUACUACACUGAAGAGAGCUUAGUUUGAGAUGUUGUCAUACUCCCUCCGGUCCUUUUUACUUUGCAUAUAAGAAUUGUCUGAAGUUAAACUUUAUAAAGUUUGACCAUAUUUAUAUGAAAAUAUAUUAACAUCUACAAUGCUAAAUUUAUACAACAUGAAAACUAAAGUCAUGACGUAUCUAAUAUUGUUGAUCUCACAUUCUAAAUAUUAAAUUUUUUUUCUAUAAACUUGGUCAAAGUUUACGAGGCUUGACUUCAACCGGAGGGAGUAUGUGAGAGUUGUCACAGGUUUGUGAAACCAGCAAAAAAGAAAAAGAUGACCAGGUUCAGGUUUGCUCAAUUUCACCUGAUGAUUCAGGUGUAGAUGUGUGACGACCCAAGUUGUCACAGAGCGUUUUCAUCAUCACAUGGUCAUUUUAAGUUGGGGUGAGAGAGGCUCGAACUCUCGACCUCAGGAUCACUCAAGUCUUAGCUAUGAGACCUACGCGCUAGCCAACUGCGCCACCACCCCUUUGUUGUUUUCUUAGCCAAACAUCCUUGUAUGUUAAUAUCUUUGUUCAGACAAAGCAAAGGACGAUUAACCAGGCGACACAGGUCUGUGCAUACGCUGCACAAAUCGGCUGGUUCUUCCAUCGUUAAAUCCAGAGUUGAAGAAAUGGAGAAAGGAACUGCAGAAAUGCCAUCUUAAAGGGCCAGAGCUAUCAAAAUAUCGGACCUUUUUUGACACUGUCAUAGUGUAAAAAAAACUCUUGUAUUUUGAUAGAGGGAGUACUCGUGUAAAAUUAGCACAUUAUAGUCACGAAUCAGAUGUAAAAUCGACAUGGCAUUGAAAUGUCCACAGCUCAUACAAUGUGCUAACUCAAGAUAACCUGAGCAUUGGGUCACUCAUGCCACCGCAUCGAUCACAGCAGAUCCUACCACCAAGCGGAAAUAAUCCAAGUCGCGACUUAAUAUCUUAAUAAUCAAUUCGGUACAGCACUGAGCGACUGCGGCUCGUCUUUGCGCUGAUACAGAUAGAACUAACUGUGCGCUUACGUGCGCAGCAGCUAUGUCCGGGCCGAAUCUUCCGUAAACAAGAACAGAAAUUGGCACUAGUAAACUAGUAGGUAGAUCAGGUAGGCAACAUAACUACAGGUUUCCAUACAGAACCAAUGGUGUGCUUACAAAAUAUCAUCAACGGGCGACUGCAGCAGAACCCUUCACGUCGAACGGAGAUCCCAACGGCGCGAUCAGGCCCAGGCUCUGCAUGAUCUUGAUCUGGCGCACGCUACGCUGCUCCGAUCCCCCCGCGCCCCUGCUCUGGUGGAGUUUGGUCAAAUCAGUGUCCGAAAUUCAUUCAGACAAUCGAUUCAGAAGAAUGGAGUGUCUACUUACAGGAGAAGAGUUGGGGUCCUUGGUCUCCGGCUUUGCCGCCUUGCCCUUUCUAGGUUUCUUCUUCGCAGCACGGCUUGAGUCAGCCUCCAGCCCACUAGCGGCCCGCUUGGUGCUUAGUCCACCCUCUGUCUCAGUAGUAGUAGCAGCAGUCGCCUUUGCCUCGGUAGCUUCACAGAUUCCAAAGAUCACUUCAUCCACAUAUGCCAUUUCAGCAGCAAGCUGCCUGUCUAUGACGUCCCCCAGCAGUAUAUCCCUGACCAUAGCUUUUAUCUUCCGGUGGGUUCCUUCGACCGUCAAACCAGUUUUGUGCUGGCUUCGAUUCACGGAUGUCAUGUCUCCUGCUUCAGCUGCAUUUUCACUUGCGCUUGAAACAUGGAGCUGUGAUGUGCUGUCCUCCGCCGCAUCUGAAUGUUCCUUCAGAUUGGUACGGCCCGACCGCUUUGAGGAUCCUUCCUUUUUGGCCACCGAUGUUCCUGAUGAUGCCUUCUUACCACUCUUUUUAUCUCGCACAGCAGAAGCUUGCUUGGGUGUCUUAUCUCUUAAACCUUCAGCAGAAUCUAUACUCAAAGCUUUGUCAAGAGCACUUGCUUGCCUCACACCUUUCUGCUUUUUUCCUUUCUGAGCAGCACCUCCACCUUCUGCAUUGCUCCGAACUUCUUGGUCCUGCUCUAAGGCUUCUUGCUUUCUGACUUUCUUAGUAGACGUCUUGGCUGUGGCCAAUAUGGUCAGACCAUAUGAAAAAUAGAGAAUUAGAUGCGUAGCAAUUAAAAAUAUAUAUGUGUGUACCAUUGAUAGCAAGGCGACUUGAAACUUGACAGGGAAAUAAAACCGCACAGGUGAUAAUUUAGCAAUACUGUCACUGAUACUGCUCCUAGAACAUGUUACCUAAUCACACCAUUGUGAAAAGAUUCACAAACGGUAACAUAUCACUGUUAACAUAAAUCACUAAUGAAAAAGGGAUAACAUGAAUGGUCAAACCACAAGGACCACCAUGAUCAAUGCACAUAACGUGUUUUUCUGCAUAUAUUCUCCAGCCAAGAAAAAACAGAAAUUCACCUUUUGUGUUGACAGCUUCCUCCUCGUCAUCACUGGCCGACUUAAAAUGAGAGAGCUCCUGCAUUUGUAAGAUUAAACAUGGAUCUCAACAACCUCCACCAAACUGUGAUUCAUAAUAUGUUCAAAGCGAAGGCGAGAUUGCCCUACCUUCUGAAGCACCUCAUGGAAUGCUUCCAUGGCUGUCUUAUUUUCUUUCUUCAGAAACUGCAUACAAUGAGCUCAUAUGAGAAAUAUUUAAAAUUCAAAAUGCUCAGGGUUGGAUAUCAUUCAUGCGUGAGAAGACAAAAACAACUAAUUUUCUUGGAAGUUAAAUAACAAAAAGCAGUUUAUAGUUUAUACACCAGAAUCAUUUACCAUAAAAUUACUACAACUCUACAAGCAGCACAUAAGUAGUGACGCUGGGUGAGGAUUCGAUUGAUAUGACCGGUUUAGGUAGAAAAAAACAAAUAGGGCAAUUAUUAACUAGAAAAAUAUUCAUUCAAUCAGCUAUUAGUUUAUUAGUUAUGCAACAACAACAACAACAAAGCCUUUAGUCCCAAACAAGUUGGGGUAGGCUAGAGGUGAAACCCAUAAGAUCUCGCAACCAACUCAUGGCUCUGGCACAUGGAUAGCAAGCUUCCACGCACCCCUGUCCAUAGCUAGCUCUUUGGUGAUACUCCAAUCCUUCAGGUCUCUCUUAACGGACUCCUCCCAUGUCAAAUUCGGUCUACCCCGCCCUCUCUUGACAUUCUCCGCACGCUUUAGCUGUCCGCUAUGCACUGGAGCUUCUGGAGGCCUGCGCUGAAUAUGACCAAACCAUCUCAGACGAUGUUGGACAAGCUUCUCCUCAAUUGGUGCUACCCCAACUCUAUCUCGUAUAUCAUCAUUCCGGACUCGAUCCUUCCUCAUGUGGCCACACAUCCAUCUCAACAUACGCAUCUCCGCCACACCUAACUGUUGAACAUGUCGCCUUUUAGUCGGCCAACACUCCGCGCCAUACAAUAUUGCGGGUCGAACCGCCGUCCUGUAGAAUUUGCCUUUUAGCUUUUGUGGCACUCUCUUGUCACAGAGAAUGCCAGAAGCUUGGCGCCACUUCAUCCAUCCGGCUUUGAUUCGAUGGUUCACAUCUUCAUCAAUACCCCCAUCCUCCUGCAACAUUGACCCCAAAUACCGAAAGGUGUCCUUCCGAGGUACCACCUGGCCAUCAAGGCUAACCUCCUCCUCACACCUAGUAGUACUGAAACCGCACAUCAUGUACUCGGUUUUAGUUCUACUAAGCCUAAACCCUUUCGAUUCCAAGGUUUGUCUCCAUAACUCUAACUUCCUAUUUACCCCCGUCCGACUAUCGUCAACUAGCACCACAUCAUCCGCAAAGAGCAUACACCAUGGGAUAUCUCCUUGUAUAUCCCUUGUGACCUCAUCCAUCACCAAUGCAAAAAGAUAAGGGCUCAAAGCUGACCCCUGAUGCAGUCCUAUCUUAAUCGGGAAGUCAUCGGUGUCGACAUCACUUGUUCGAACACUUGUCACAACAUUAUCAUACAUGUCCUUGAUGAGGGUAAUGUACUUUGCUGGGACUUUGUGUUUCUCCAAGGCCCACCACAUGACAUUCCGCGGUAUCUUAUCAUAGGCCUUCUCCAAGUCAAUGAACACCAUAUGCAAGUCCUUCUUUUGCUCCCUAUAUCUCUCCAUAAGUUGUCGUACCAAGAAAAUGGCUUCCAUGGUCGACCUCCCAGGCAUGAAACCAAACUGAUUUUUGGUCACGCUUGUCAUUCUUCUUAAGCGGUGCUCAAUGACUCUCUCCCAUAGCUUCAUUGUAUGGCUCAUCAGCUUAAUUCCACGGUAAUUAGUACAACUCUGAACAUCCCCCUUGUUCUUGAAGAUUGGUACUAAUAUACUCCAUCUCCAUUCUUCUGGCAUCUUGUUUGCCCGAAAAAUGAGGUUGAAAAGCUUGGUUAGCCAUACUAUUGCUAUGUCCCCGAGACCUUUCCACACCUCAAUGGGGAUACAAUCCGGGCCCAUCGCCUUGCCUCCUUUCAUCCUUUUUAAAGCCUCCUUCACCUCAGACUCUUGGAUUCGCCGCACAAAACGCAUGCUGGUCUCAUCAAAGGAGUCGUCUAGUUCAAUGGUAGAACUCUCAUUCUCCCCAUUGAACAGCUUGUCGAAGUACUCCCGCCAUCUAUGCUUAAUCUCCUCGUCCUUCACCAAGAGUUGGCAUGCACCGUCCUUGAUGCAUUUGACUUGGCCAAUGUCCCUCGUCUUCCUCUCUCGAAUCUUGGCCAUCUUAUAGAUGUCCCUUUCACCUUCCUUCGUGCCUAACCGUUGGUAGAGGUCCUCAUAUGCCCGACCCCUUGCUUCACCAACAGCUCGCUUUGCGGCCUUCUUCGCCAUCUUGUACUUCUCUAUGUUGUCUGCACUCCUAUCCAGGUAUAGGCAACAAUGAUAAAAUAAAAUACAUGCUUUACCUGUACAAUCCUAAAACAUAUAUGUGUGAGUCGUGCUAUUGGUACAUUCUGUUAGUUAGAACAAAGCAUAUUACAAUUCAGAACAAUUGUUAGAAUUUCAUUAUCAACAUAUGCAAUAUUAUAUAAUUUAUCAAGUGUGUGCGAAUAUAUGUCCGUCAGUUCAGCCUUUUGGUUAUAUCAGCUUCCUGCAGUUAAAAACCUAGGGAAACCAAAAUUGCAAUAAUGAUUGAAGUUGUUGGUUAUUUUCGUGUUUCAGCUGAUUUAAGCUUCUUUAAUACAGUUCAGUCAGUUACCACUACUCCAUAUUAGCAUCCUCAUGAGCUGUAGGAUAGAAGAUGUGCAUACCAUUUCGAAUUCCAUGUUAGACUUCCAAGGGUCAACAUACAAGCUGAAAAUAAAAUAGUGAAGACAAUUACCUUUAUUGUAAAGAUUAUCAGUUGAUCGCCACUAGAAAGAAAAGAAAGGCUUCACAUGUUAUUAGGACCCUUACUCUAGGCAUGUGCCAUACAGUCGAACCAGAGCGUCAUGGCUGGUCUUCUUCUUGGCCUUGCUACUGGCACAUGCUUCAUCAAUGACCUUGAAUUCAGAAACAGAAGUGGUCUAAAUAUGUGCAUGGGAAGCUAGGAUGAAGAACAUAACAGUUGGGGAAAGUCUGAAAUGUUUUGUCUUUGCAACAUACAAGUACAAAGGUUGUGGCAUUGGCACUUGAGACUUGACCAAACUAUCUUACUCAUACAUGAUAUAUAUAAUUGAUCUACUACAGAUGCAACCAUCUGCCAGCGUUCAAUUUAAGCUGAUGUGCAAUGCAACAAGCAUAUUCACUGGCAUCUAGAAUUAUUUUAGAACCAUACUGGCAUUGAGUGCAGCAAAAAAAUGGUUCAACAUGUUGGGGUAAUCUAAAUUGCUGAUCCGUAGCAAAGCAAAGGUAUUUAGCUAAUUGAAGUAUGAAGUGCUCAGAAGGUGUAUGCAUCAUACCUGGGCUGGCCACCAUGAGGAGCCAUCAUGCUUAACCCAUGUUAUAUCUCCUAAACAGAAAUUCUGCCUUGGGUUAUUUUCUGAGGGUUCAGGACUUGAUGUGCAUGCAGCCAUACGACCAUAACUUUUCUCUGCACUUUUCCUCACCAUAAUGACCAAUUCAGACCUGCAACAGCAUUAAACAAGAAAUAUUAGUAUUGAUAUUGCCCACUCUUACUGCUUGUUAGCUUGACAGAAAGCUAUUCGACCAAAAGAUCAACUUAAAUUCACUGUUAUAAAAAGCAGUCGUGUAGCCUGACUAAGUGUUUGGCUCCAGCAACUGCCCACCUGGCACCUAACACCUGAAAUCAUCUUACUCAAACAAGGCUACAGCUCAUUCCGUGGUAUGGUUGAAUAUACGAUAUACCAACAUCAGUUUUGACGAUGCUAUAGCCACCAAAAUAUAGAGAGCAAGUGGCCUUAAUUUUUUACCAGAAUGUUGGUGUAGGUUUUGAAUAUGUGGCCAGAUGGCGGUGUUAUGAAGACUAGUAAGAUGCUGGGCAAGGAAUGGAGGUAUUAUGAAAGACUGGUACGAUACAGAGACGUUUCAAAUCAGUUCUCUCAGACGACAAUGUAAAACAAAACUGCAUCUGAAUCGGUUAUCUCAGAAAUAUGUUGCAUCGCCAACGCAAACAGCACUAAAACGGUGUAGUAUGAUGCACACCAUCACUGCCGUGUGACAUGUGCAAUUAUGCAAUUAGCGAACCAGAGCAUCAGACUGGAUCUGGAGAUCUCAAAUGGGAUGUGGCCUUACUCUCAGUCUCUCACCGAAGCUUAAGCAGUUAUUCAGUAUCAUUAUAUCCCUAAAAAGCACUUGCUCAGUGAAUUAAAGGGGGGUGCAGGAACAAAACUCGUCAAAUAAAUCAGGUGCAGACUUUUGCACUCUGAAGUUCGCUGGAUUUGAGUAUAUGCCCUCGUCCAGCAGUCUCUUGAUAAAAUGCAUGGAAGCUGAAUGUGCUUCUCAUGAUUUGCCCUGAGGGAUGUGUUUUCAACGAAAAAUCAACAAGAUGCCGCACAUUUAUUUGCAAUUUGACACAAAUGACGCAUGUACAGGUGGCCCCAGGCCCCCACAUGUCAGACAAAGGCGUGUCACUUUGUCAAAUUCCUCGUUCUUCACAUAACAAAAUCAAUUAACCCCUUCACUCAAAAAAAAAUCAAUUAAUCCUUUUUACCCGGCCAAGGAAAAGGCAACUUUGGCCCUUCUUUCCGUUGCUCCAGCACACAGCAUAGAUAGAUAGACAGGAGGCGGCGAGCUUUCGCUGUUUGCACUUGCACGUGCACGGCGCGCCCUGGGGUAAUGGCUCGACCGAUGCCAGCAAAAAUCGAUUAGUCCGCACAUAAUGUGGUCCGUCGCGCCUCUCCCCUCCCAAAUUCCCCCUCGAAAGCAGCCCUAUCUCGUCUCGCGAACAAAACCUAGGGUUCGCUCGUACGACGCAAAAUCGGGGGCCAAAACCUACGAUCUGGCAAGCGGAUGCGACGAGCGGCGAGACGGUGCGGGGAUGACCUCGCUGGCAGCCGCCGCCCUGGGUCUCAGCCGGUCGCCGGGCUGGAUGGGGGCGUGCUGCUCCUGCAGCGAAAAGAGGGGGAGCGGGUGGGCGCGGCGAGCAGGGAGGGGGCGGGAGAAGAAUGCAGAGGGGGCGGGGCGAAGGGAAGCACCUCGCUGCAGGAUGCCGCGCGGUCGCCGGCCGGAGUGGUGGAGCAGGCUGCCCCGCUCCCUGGCGACGGCGAGGCUGAGCUGGGUGGAGAGGUCGAGGGUUCGAGUGUGAAUGGAGAGGCGAGCUGGGGGAGCUCGGGUUUGAUUAUUGCCUUGGGGGGCAAAUGGGUCUUUUUGGUUUCAUUCACACUCUCGAGUCUCGAGUGUGGGGCCGGCGGGCAGGCUGGCAUCGCAAGGCAGCUAAAUUAUUUCUUCUCGACGACUAACCCUCUCACGGCAUCUACAGCGGGUUUUGUCAAACCCGGCCCCGGUCGUGGACACAACCACACAUCUCAAAUUCAAACAACCCUCAAAACAAAAUUCUCAAAUUCAAACUCACAAAUUAAUGCAAAUCCAUGCAUGUGCAUCAUACACGUGAAAUGUCGUAUCAUUGUAGCUCCAUGAAAUAAUUUUCCAACGAGUUUGGAACACUCCGAAUGCCCUCUUCACAUCCUUCCUAACUGCCUCUUGCAUUUUUUGUAAAGUAACUUUGUUUGUUGCCUUGAGUUCGGAUAUGGUUUUCACAAAUGCCACCCUCUGAGGAUACAUGCAAUCGAUAAGACGGUACCCCCAUGUUUGUAGUCGCGGCGUUGAUAGUGUAGUUGCAUGGCGGCGAUUCUCCCUUACAAUGUCUCCUGGACACAGAGAUCGCUGAAGCACAUUGAUAUCGUUGUGAGAACGUGACAUUUCAAAGAACCAGUCCUCGGAUGAGGAUGAUUUUAUUGCUUGGCAGUAUGAGAAGAGUGGUUUGUUCACAGUAAAAAGUGCAUAUAAUCCGGCACUUAGUCUCAAGGAGGGGAAGGAGGAGCAAGUGCAAUCUAGUGGAGACACGAAUGGGGAUAGGAAACUUUGGAAUGUCAUUUGGAAAGCCAAUGUCCCCCAAAAGAUCAGAACUUUUGUGUGGCGGGCGGCUUCUAAUAACCUAGUGGCACAGGUUAAUAGAGUUAAGCACCAUCAGGCUACUUCUGAAUUAUGCUCUAUUUGUGGUAUGGAGGAUGAAAGUAUGUUUCAUGCUUUGGUGACAUAUCCUAAGGUGAGUGCUCUGCACAUAGAGUUGAGGGGAGUGUGGAAUAUUCCCAGAGAAGAAGUGUUUAAGUGCUCAGGACCCGAUUGGAUGCUUAUCUUGUUGGACCAAUUAACCACUACUGUUCGUGAGCUUGUUCAUAUUCUGGAGAGCUUGACACUUACAUAAUGAUCUUAUUUUUGCCAAAGGGAAAGAAUUUGUUUCAAACUCGGCUAAUUUUGUGGAUAAUCAUUGGGCGACAUUUUUCAUCUUGCCAUCAUGCAAAAACUGCCACAUGAGUCAAAGGUAAGGGAUCAGAGGUGGGGUUGCAGUCUCGUACUUAUCCACCGAGUAUNNNNNNNNNNNNNNNNNNNNNNNNNNNNNNNNNNNNNNNNNNNNNNNNNNNNNNNNNNNNNNNNNNNNNNNNNNNNNNNNNNNNNNNNNNNNNNNNNNNNNNNNNNNNNNNNNNNNNNNNNNNNNNNNNNNNNNNNNNNNNNNNNNNNNNNNNNNNNNNNNNNNNNNNNNNNNNNNNNNNNNNNNNNNNNNNNNNNNNNNNNNNNNNNNNNNNNNNNNNNNNNNNNNNNNNNNNNNNNNNNNNNNNNNNNNNNNNNNNNNNNNNNNNNNNNNNNNNNNNNNNNNNNNNNNNNNNNNNNNNNNNNNNNNNNNNNGUGUACUAGUGUUGAUGAAGUGGAACUCAGGGCAUGUCUAGCGGGACUAUAUACCGAUAUCACUCUCCAUAAGCCUGUUGUUUUGGAAACAGACUGCCCUUUUGUGUUUUCUUUUCUUCCACAUGAUAACCUUGAUAGAUCAGCUCUGGUGGAUCUCAAGAAGGAAGCCUUAGCCCUUACCAAGCUUCUUCCAAAUGUUAAGGUGGUGAAGAUCAAAAGACAUGCAAACGAGGUGGCUCAUCAGAUAACUAAGUUUAGUUUUGAUAAUAGGUCGGGUGGCCUUCUAUGUAAUAGUUUUCCGCCCUGCGUAGCGAAUGUUGUAAUGAACGAUUGUACUCGAUCUUUUAAUUAAUUAAUACAUGGGUUUUUCAAAAAAAACAUGCCAAAUCCAUAAGUCAUGUGAUGCCAUUGCUUCCAAUGUGAUGAUGGUGGCCUCUUUGGUGUGAUCUUGGUACGUCCCGCUCAAACCUUUAGGGCGGUUCUUCCAUUGCCAAUUACAUGCAAUUUGAACCGAGCAUACCUGAAAACCUCUUGCCUUCCGAAUAGCCAACAACUUUCCUAUAUCCUACACAUUUAGUUCUCUCGUAUACUCUAGUACAAACACAUGCACCACGGUGCGAGCAAACUUGACCGUGGUCUUUAGGCAUAUGCCCUUCCCCAUCCAAACCAUCUUACAAACGGCAUCAGCGGCGGUACCGAAUGGAAGCAUCGUCCGCAACCGUGCAUUUCUGCUUAGUAGAGAAUGAUAGUUGUCUGCAACAAUCCCUGGUGAGCUUGAAGUAGGGAUCAAGUGCCUCCACUCCCUCCCUUUGAUUGAACCCUUAAAGUUGAGAAUGCGCUCCACCUCCCAGUCCAUUUUCUGUUGGAUGCUCAUGAUCAUGAUAUCUCGGCUUUCUCGUCAUUUUGAAUCAUUUCAUCAAGCUAUACCUGUCCAUACUCCUCGUCCGAUGAACCCCCUGAAUCCAUCGUUUUGCAUGGGAGCAGGUGAGAUCUAAUUCAAAAUACAACUUUCAACUCUAGUGAUUACCAGAAUUGAAUACUUAAAUUCUCCCCUUUGAGGUGGUCCCCGAUGCGGAGUCUAGAUAGGAGGAAGAUGGUACAUCCAUAAGGAAUGGUGGUGAGGGAAGAAGUGCAUAACGACGACACAUAAGGGAUGAAGAAAAAAUUAGUGCUUGUGUUGAUGAUUUUGUUAACAAUGAAAUUUUGAAUACUCUAGUUAUCAAGGUUAAUCUUGAAGAUGCCAUUUGUUGGACUCACACUCCUAAUUCAGAAUGUACAAGAAAAAGUGCAUACAUAACUUUUGUGUAGGUGAUCCAAGAUAGGUCUUUGUGAAGACAAGCUCUUACUUCGGAUUAAGAAAGUGUUAUCCUCAAUCAUGCUGCGAAAAACAAAACCAUGGCCCCUAGGGUCAAAACUUUUGCUUGGAGGCUUAUUAGGAGAGUUGUUGCAAUAUGAUUAAGAUCUUCUAUGUAUUCUAAUCAUACCAACAGAAAAUGUUGUAGAUGUAGUUAAAUAGAAUCUGAUAUUAACCUUUUCUUUCAAUGCAAUUUCUCUAGAUCAAUCUGGUUUAAAUUUGACCUCAAAACUGAUAUGCUGAACUCCAAUUCAUAUUUUGUUGAUAUCAUUCAAAUGAUCGUGUCUUCUCAGCAAUAUGAGUUAAAACUAGAUAUUGUUUUCACUGUUCUUUGGAACAUAUGGAGAGCCAAAAAUUAUCUCCAUUUCAAUAAAAGAAAAGGAGUCCUAUGCAAGUUCUCCAUGAUACAUACACAAUACUUACUGCGGGUUUAAUAGAGGAGAAGAGGGAAAGGAAUAUAUCUCAUGAAAAUAACAAUUAUUAUUCUCUCCUAAAUACAACUAUGCAUAUACAAUCUAAUCUACAGGUACUGUAGCAUAUGUGGACGCAACCUUUCGUUGGCUGAGAAUGAAGCCUCCUUCGAAGUAUAUCUCAACAAUACACGCACCAAGCACACCAUAUGCAUUCAUGCAGCGGCAACAAAUGUGCAAUAUGUUUUGCAGGCUGAAGCGAUGGCCUUACUUCCUACCUCGGCAACCAAUGCAUUGGGCUGCAGUUUUGCUUCUUUCUAUUCUAAUUGCAGGACUUUGGUCGACGCUGCGGAAUCAAGGAAUCUUCUUGUUAAAUUAUGACAUUAUUUCUUGUCUCGGGUCCUCCAAGUGCUCCACAGUCCUAGGCCCUAGAAUCACUUUGCUCAGGCUCUAGCUAAGAGAGCCUUCUCAAACAAAUUUACUUUGCUCAUGAGUUCAAAAAUGGCAAUUGAGGUCAUCUCAUUUCCCUUCGAGAAACUACCUUUGGUGUACUACCCUUUGCCAAAAAAAUCUUUUACAAAUGCUAAACAGUUCAAAUGUAAAAGUUGGCAAGGAUUUUUGUGAGUAAAUCUGUUCGAUUGUGAUGCUUAAACAAUUAUAUCAAAAUGAUAUGUAGGAAAGAACAACCAAUCUAUUUUGAAGAUUUUCAGGUUAGAACGCAAAUCUAGUGUAAAUGCAUGUUGUGAUUUUCCUAAUAAAAAUGAAGAUACUGCAUACACACACCUACCAACUAUAAAUGCAUAUUGACCUCAGAAAACAAAAAGCUAUAAAUGCAUACUAUUGGAAAUCAACCAUGCUAUGCUAGGAUAACCACUAAGAGCAAGUAUAAUAAGGUGACGUAAACGGCUAUAAGAAUUUAAAUAUUAUGUUUUUGCUAAGUUGAAAGAGAGAAGAGAAGUGGACUGUAGAUGCACUGCCGGCUUCAGCACGACUCCAAUAAGUUCUCUGAGAGUGAAAGAUUGGUCAUAUGUUAAUAAAUUAGUACUUCCUUAUAGUCAACUACUAUACAUAUUGGCUAUUAGACUACCCACAGUGGGAGUAACAUAGAUAGUAACAUCACACAUAUCUAGGUUAAAUAAAUGAUGUGGCAUUGUAAUAAAUGAAAAAAGAGAUGAAAAUGGUAUAGUUACUACUAGUAUGAGUAACAUUACACAUAUCAAGGCAAGAUGUAUCUACAACCUAAUAAAUGAAAUGUUGCAUGUUACCACACAUAUGUUACUACCCACUAUAGAGGUAGUAACAUAGACUACUCACAUGAGCAUGUUACUGCCCAUUGUGGCUUGUCUUAUAUUAGCUAGCGAAGUGAGCAUAGCUUGGAUGGUUAGGUUUUUUGUGGUACAACCAACCCAUCAAGAUUAAAUCCUAGACAUUGGUGGUCACAUCUUCCUAUAUUUAUUUCACGCCUUCCGAUUGAAGUUGCUCAUAAAGAUAGAGUGUGCAUAUGUACAUUUAUAGAGAAACGUUGGCUAUAAAUGACAUGAUACUCCAAUCGCAGGGUCAUGUUAAGUGCAAUGCUACAUGUAAUAACAGUGACAACCAUAAUUAAUCGUAGGUUCUUCCAAGCAUUUGAUCGAUGGUAGAUACUUCCCCUAGCUAUAGCUAUGGAAAUAGUAUUUCAAGUCGAGGUAUCACAUGUCAAUGAAAAUCGAAACUGCAGUUAAAACCAUGGCCAAAGCCUCAUAACCUGGUGAACAAGACAAUGGAACAUCCCAUAUAAUUAUAAUGUGUGGCUACUACAUACAACAGCAGCCGCAGGCACAUAUUCAGCAACGCUUGAUGUUCACGUUGCCAGCCUAAGAAACAAAACUCUCAACGCCGGAAGGUAACCAAGCAACGCAACUCAUCGGUUGACUGUCGUCGUAUUCUCGGUGCAGUUUUAUUACAAAAAGCAACAAUAACAUCCAUUCGGUGUGGCUUACAGCACCUGCCGUCACUUGAAAAGAAAAAUCACAGAUCGGUCACCCCAAGGGUUAUCAUCAAUCAGGGACCUAG
Molecule: long non-coding RNA, 65962 nt
Filed under: Triticum aestivum (bread wheat)
Lineage: Eukaryota; Viridiplantae; Streptophyta; Magnoliopsida; Poales; Poaceae
Description: long non-coding RNA (TAES_LNC009879)
Rfam family: MIR1120/MIR1122 microRNA precursor family (bases 35468-35592)
Source: RNAcentral